RNAcentral lists this long non-coding RNA (58819 nucleotides) under Triticum aestivum (bread wheat). Its description in RNAcentral is "long non-coding RNA (TAES_LNC028495)". Lineage: Eukaryota; Viridiplantae; Streptophyta; Magnoliopsida; Poales; Poaceae. The record is from RNAcentral.
GCUAUAUGAUGAACAGGAGGAGCGGGCGCCAACAUCAGUACACGCAACAUCCCAGUACAGCCAGCAAGAAGGGUUCUACCAGCAACAUAUUUUCCUUAGACAACCGUAUCAAGACAGUGCGACCUAUGCCACUGCAGCCAUGAUAAUGAUACAACUUAUUAUGCAACAAUAUGCUGCAAUAAGAUAACUUGCAAUGAUCCAGCGGAGCCCAAAGGCACUUGUCUUGUUGACAAAGUCUCAUGCGGCUGUGACGUGAGUACAUGCAAGUAGUACAUGCUGCUGAAAGUUUUUUGUGUGUGUUUUUCUUCAAUAAAUGGGGCAUUGGUGCCAAAACAUGCUUGACUCAUCUAUGGCAUUGCUCAUUGUGUCUGUGUGCAAUCUGAAUCUUCUGUUUUGCUUUUGGGUGAAAUUUGGCGAAACUGAAAACGGUUACCAGCUGACCAAGUCAUCAGUUUCGGAAACUACAGAAGUGACUUUGGUUGUGAUUCCUGGAAUUGUCAAGGAAUCCCUGCGCCAGCAAGCUGAUUUAUAUGUUGGGUGAACCACUCCAUCCAAUAUACUCCUGUUUUUCUAUGUGCUUGCUUUAACGGUGUUAAUGUGCAACCUGGUAUAUAUCUUUUGCCGCUUGAAGGAAGAGCAAUAUUGACAGUAUUAAAUUGUACAACUAUAUUCUUAUGGAAUAUAUUUUCAUAUGUAUAAUUAUUUUAAUUUGAAAAGGAAUUUUUAAUACAAAUCAUAAGUAUAGAACAGGAAGACUGAAUUGAAUCAACACAAUAUCGGAGGUCUAGUGGGGAAAUGCAUUGGGGCACCAAGAAAUAUCUGAAAUAUUUAAAAAAAAACUUAAUUUUUGGGAUAUGAAACCUGAGUGCCUAUUGUACGCCCAUGUUCAUUUUCGCGUGGAUGGGUGCCUGUGGUAUCCGUGGCGCUGGAACUACGAUACGACAUAAGAUACAUCUAUUUUUUUCUAUACAUACGAUUUUUCCUUUUUUACUGACAUUACCACAGGUAGCCCUUCCCCACGAAACUGAACGGGUGUACAACAGGCACCCAUGUUUAAUAUCCCAAAAUUUCAUUUUUUUUUGAAAACUCCUAAUAUUUUUUAAAUACUGUAUUCAUAUAGGUCUGUGUGUCAUCCAAGAGCUACAAAUCCUCUUCCAGGUCUAUUGGUCUUUUCUUUUCUUUUUCUUUCUUUUUUAAUAAAGGGAGCACUGGUGACAAAACAUGGUUGACUCUUAUAUGGCCUUGGUCAUUGUGUCCAUGUGCAAUCUGAAUCUUCUGUUUGUUUUUUGGGUAAAAUUUGGGGAAACUGAAAACAAUGAACGGCUGACCAAGUCAUCAGCUUCAGAAAUUACAGCAAUGACUUUGGUUGCAAUUUCUGGAAAACUGUACGUAUCUGCAAAAAAGAAAGAAAGAAGGAAAAUAAAAUCUCGGACGGAUCCCUUUUCCUUGGCUGAAGAGCAUCAUGGCGGAAACUAGUCAAAACAUGGUUGAAACCAAUUCAGAGUUAAUUCUUGUCCGGUUUUGCAAGUUCGAGGUUGUAAAAUAGUCAGUUUUGGGUUGUAUCUUAGACUUUGGUGGCAAUUCGGGCCCUCUUCGGGUUCACUCCGCUCCGUAGCUCUGCCCUUCGAGCGGGCGGAGUGACGCUGAACGCUGCAGCUCCUCGGAGUAGGAUGAGUGGAGCGGAGCUGGAUUUAGGGCCUGUUCGGAGUCUCACCGCUCCAGAACUCCACUCCCGUUGCGGGGUAGCUUCAACUGAAAAUAGAUGAGCGGGAAAACACCAGCUCCGCAGAUCCUCGUAUUUCUUGAAGCCGGCGGACUACCGAACAGGGCCUUAGUUUAAUCCGGCGGAGUGGCUAAUUCCUAGCUCCGCGGGGGACUCCCUGUGACCUCCCGCCCGAUCCAAAUCAAUCUCUCUCUCUCUCUCUCUCCCUCCCUCCCUCCCUCCCUCCCUCCCUCCNNNNNNNNNNNNNNNNNNNNNNNNNNNNNNNNNNNNNNNNNNNNNNNNNNNNNNNNNNNNNNNNNNNNNNNNNNNNNNNNNNNNNNNNNNNNNNNNNNNNNNNNNNNNNNNNNNNNNNNNNNNNNNNNNNNNNNNNNNNNNNNNNNNNNNNNNNNNNNNNNNNNNNNNNNNNNNNNNNNNNNNNNNNNNNNNNNNNNNNNNNNNNNNNNNNNNNNNNNNNNNNNNNNNNNNNNNNNNNNNNNNNNNNNNNNNNNNNNNNNNNNNNNUCUCUCUCUCUCUCACUCCCGCAGUGACUCCCUGGCCAUUGAACCCACUAGCGACGCUCCCUGCACCCUUUUGGCCGGAACCACCCACUAGCGAUGUUCCCCGCACCCUUCUGGAGUGGAGUCAGUUGCCAAACGUGUUAUCAACUCCCCAUUUGGCGGAAGGAGCCAUCAGUCCAGGAGUGGGGAGUGGAGUCAAGGAUCUGAAGGAGUGGAGGGGAUCCGAACACACUCUCUUGGUUGUAAUAUGUACUCCUCUCUUACUUUUCUUUGCAUGUAUUCUUAUGUCUUGAUGAGUGCUACCCAAUUUGAGUCCCACAACCUCUUGGAAUCUGUGACCUCACCGUAGCCUGGGAUUGUGGUGAACGGCCCUAGUCAUGCUAUGGAUGACCAAUGGGAUGCAUUGUCAAUGCACUCAAUCUACUUGUUGUCACUGUCAAGGAAUCCCUGCGCUAGCAAGCUGAUUUAUAUGUUGGGUGAACACUCCAUCCCGUCCUGUUUUUCUAUGUGCGUGAUUAAAUGGUGUUAAUGUACAACCUGAUAUACUAUCUUUUGCCGAUUGAAGGAUGACCAAUAUUGACAAUAUUAAACUUGUACUACUAUAUUCUUAUGGAAAAUCAUUUUUAGUACAAAUCACAAGUAUAGAACAGGAGGACGGAAUUGGAUGAAUACAACAUCGGAGGUCUAGUGGCCUUUUCUUAUCUAUAUGUAGAACAAUAGAAGAUAUGGUUUCCUAAAUGAAUUGUCCAACGCCCAGCUGUUUUCCGUGAAUGAUUCAACAUGCAAUGGUAACAAAAGAAAUUGGAAAGUUUUCGAUCAUCAACGAAUAGAAGGCAAUACUGUUAGCAUGGUCAAUCAGUACAUCCAGAAAAUUAUACAAAUCUGUAAUUUAAGUAGUUUUGGAAUUCUUCAUUUUUAUCUAAAUAUAGUUAUAUGAUUUCUAGGCACCGCUACACCUUAUUUUUUUUUACUUUCCUUAAUUGCAUUAAUCUGUAUUAAACUUACAUUAAAGACACAGAUACCUGAGGGAGUAUUAAUGGCAGGGAAUAAAAUAAAUUAAUCCAUUCAAUAAAUGCAUAUCUUUUUUGGCGCAAACAAUAAUUGGCUGCCAUCUUGCACCUUGUCAUGUAUGUGUAUAUAUUCCCAUUCUCUAUAUCUUGGCCAUUCACAAUACAAACACACAAACCGGAAAGUGAAUUCUUUUCUUAUAAGAUAUACUGAUGGCAAAAUCUUCGCAGAUGUUUGUCACCGUCAUGUGCCUUCUGCUUCUGUGCACCAGCGAUCAAGUCCAUGGUAUGUUUAUCAUAUUCAUACCAAUCUUACCAUUCCAUAUAAAUCUUAUGGAUAAACUGAUUUGCAUAAAUAAUCAAAUUGGGUCUUGUUGUAUUGGUCAAUCAGUUUAGGUGUUUUUGACUUGAUAGUACAUAUUUCUUAGUUUUUUCCUUAGGGUUGUGUCUUGUGAUGUGUUUGGAUAGAGUGAGUUCUUGCCCUCACCCUUGUACAUGUUUCUUUUUUAUUGAAAUGAUACACACAGCUCUCCUGUGUGUUUCAGAAAAAAAUGAAUCUUGAUUUCUCCUGCUAUACGUACAAAGAGAUGUCAGCGAGAUGAUGUAGUGUGUGUGCACACUUAGUUUAUCAGGUUAAUUUUCACCCAGAAGAAAUAUAAUUAUGAAUGUAUACUACAUGAUGAACAGGAGAGGACGCUAACAUCACAAGCAGCAUCCCAGUACAGCCAGCCAGAAGGUUUCUACCAGCAACAUAUUUUCCUCAGACAACCGUAUCAAGACAGUGCGACCUAUGCCACUGCAGCCAUGAUCACGAGAAAACUUAUUAUACAACAAUAUGCUGCCAGGAGAUAACUUGCAAUGAUCCAGCGCAGCCGAAAGGCAGUUGUGCACUUCGUAGACUCUCAUGCGGCUGUGACGUGAAUACAUGCAAGUAGUACAUGCAACUGGAAGUUUUCCUUGUGUGUUUUUCUUUAAUAAAGGGGCCAUUGGUGCCAAAACAUGCUUGACUCAUCUAUGGAAUUGCUCAUUGUGUGUCUGUGUGCAAUCUGAAUCUUCUGUUUUGUUUUUGGGUGAUAUUUGGCGAAACUGAAAAGGGUUACCAGCUGACCAAGUCAUCGGUUUCACAAACUACAGAAGUGACUUUGGUUGUGAUUCCUGGAAUUGUCAAGGAAUCCCUGUGCUAGCAAGCUGAUUUAUAUGUUGGGUGAACGACUCCAUCCAAUAUACUCCUGUUUUUUUAUGUGCUUGCUUUAACGGUGUUAAUGUGCAACCUGGUAUACUAUCUUUUGCCGCGUGAAGGAUGAGCAAUAUUGACAAUAUUAAAAUUGUACAACUGGUGAUCUCGUCGUGCCUUCCGCAACGCUGCGUGCUGGNNNNNNNNNNNNNNNNNNNNNNNNNNNNNNNNNNNNNNNNNNNNNNNNNNNNNNNNNNNNNNNNNNNNNNNNNNNNNNNNNNNNNNNNNNNNNNNNNNNNNNNNNNNNNNNNNNNNNNNNNNNNNNNNNNNNNNNNNNNNNNNNNNNNNNNNNNNNNNNNNNNNNNNNNNNNNNNNNNNNNNNNNNNNNNNNNNNNNNNNNNNNNNNNNNNNNNNNNNNNNNNNNNNNNNNNNNNNNNNNNNNNNNNNNNNNNNNNNNNNNNNNNNNNNNNNNNNNNNNNNNNNNNNNNNNNNNNNNNNNNNNNNNNNNNNNNNNNNNNNNNNNNNNNNNNNNNNNNNNNNNNNNNNNNNNNNNNNNNNNNNNNNNNNNNNNNNNNNNNNNNNNNNNNNNNNNNNNNNNNNNNNNAUAUUUUUCUUUUUUGUUUCUCCCACAUAGAACAUAUCUUGAAGUUCAUGAUUCUAGCUAGAAAGCUUUGCCACCCUGCAUAGGUUUGAACUUCAAGAUAUGUUCUAUGUGGGAGAAUAAAAAAAAAGAAAUCUUCAUAUAAAAAGUUAGUUGUGUUGCAUAGAUCUUAAAGCGAUAUUGAAGAGCUAGGAUAGCAGGGCCCGGUGCAAGUGCUCUAAAAAUCCACGUCCGCCGCGCCCCCCUGUCAACAGGCGUAAGACCCUGGCGGCUGGGUUCACAGAGCCCCGGAGCAGCAUCCGCAUCAAUUCGUUGCACGGCAGCACGCCCAUCGCGACGAUGGCCGAGAAAAACCUCUUCAAGAAGCUAGGAGUCGUCCAUGCCGAGCAGGAGGUCACUGAACUGGCGAUUGAGUCUUAUGUCAAGAUGUUUCAGCAAGAGUUGCCAUCUGCAGCGAUAGCGGCACUGAGGGCUCUCUUCCGCCUCGACUGCGAGCACGCUGUGGCUGUGAAAGGCGCAGUGCUGGCACAUGGAGGAGAUGGCGGACUAGAUCACGAUGUCCAUGAUGCCCAUGUCGAUGUCUAGGCGGCGCGUAUGUGCGUUUGGAGCCUCAUUUAGUUAUCCAUGUUAGACAAAGUCCUGAACUUGCUUUGUUUGGUGGCUGUAGCUAGUCGUCUCGGUGUUGGCACAGGCCCGAUCAAACGUUGCACGACGGCUCCUUGACGAGUACUUUCCGUCAACCGAACACGUACGUACGAAACCACGCUUGAUUGAUUCUUCCUGAGGCAACGUGCACGUACAAAACUAGCUGAUGGAUGUUGAAGCUAGCUAGCUUAGUACGUAGCAACGGCUGGAUACUUAAUCGAUCUAGACUAGCACAACUCGGCGAAACACAAGAUAUUUGAUGGCUAAUAGGUGCGUGUCGCACCUAUGCUUUGUAUUACUUUGAUCUGAGUUGAUUACAGAUUACAGAGGUAUACCUAUGUAUAUAUAGUAUAUAGGAUCAAACGCUCGUAAACCUACACGUCUACACAGUCCUAAUCCUAAUACUAUUAGGUGAUUGCACCAAGUCCGAGCCGGACUAGGCCACACGUCGUGGUUAUUUCCAACAAUCACCCCCCUAAACACGAUGUCCUCACUUCACAGCUUGGACGCCGAUCCUUCGCCGCAUCUUCACGAACUUCUGUCGUCCCAAAGAUCUGGUUAGGAUAUCUGCAAGCUGGUCAUCGGUGCAAACGUAGUUGAUGUCGAUCUUGCUUUCUUCCACACACUCCCUUAGGUAGCGAUAUCUCAUAUCGAUGUCCUUGCAUCUACCAUGAUGCAUUGGAUUCUUCCAUAGAGAGAUUGUAGACUCGUCAUCAAUAUUGAGCACCACUCCUUCCAGUUCCUUACCUGUGAGGUCACCAAGUAGCCUUCCAAGGCACACGCCUUGACACACCACGGUUGCAGCUGCAAUAUACUCUGCUUCACGAGAUGAUAAUGCGACCACCUUCUGCUUUUGUGAUAGCCAACUCACUAUGCUUACUCCCAAAAAAUAUGCCACGCCCGAGGUACUUUUACGGUCGUCCACAUCUCCUGCCAUGUCGCUAUCACUGUAGACUAGUAGCUCCGUCAUCUCCUUCUUCUUCUCUCUCAAAUAGACACAACCGAAGUUUGUUGUCCCUUUGAUAUACCUGAGUAUAUUUUCCACAGCUGCCUAAUGUUCCGUCGUGGGUGUUUCCAUGAAGUGACUCACUAUGCCAACGGAAUAGGCCAAGUCCGGUCUUGUAUUCGUGAGAUACCUCAACUUUCGGACCACACUUCUAUACUCCGUUGCAUCAACCGCGGGUGCUUCACUCUUUUUGCUUAGUAUAAGACGAGGCUUCAUCGGAACAUGACUUGGGUUGCAAACUUUCAUGCCACAGCUUUCAAGUACCUUCUUUGCAUAUGCCUCCUGGCAUAUUGUGAUCCCCUCCGGCUUUUGCUGUACCUCGAUCCCAAGGUAGUAACUCAAGAGCCCUAGAUCAGUCAUCUUGAAUAGCUCCUUCAUCUGUAGCUUGAAGUUUGCAAUCACCUCUUCGUCUGCUCCAGUUAUCAACAGAUCAUCCACAUAGAUACCCACUAGUAGACGAUGCCUUCCUUCACCUCGCUUAUACAUUGCAUGCUCCAAUGGGGCUUUCUUAAAUCCAAGAGAAAUCAAUGUACUAUCAAGCUUGAUAUUCCAUGCCCUAGGAGCUUGUCGUAGCCCGUACAACGCCUUGUGUAGCUUCAAUACCUUGUGUUCUUCUCCUUCUUGGAUGUACCCUGGUGGUUGCUUCACAUACAAUUCUUCUUCUAACUCCCCGGUCAAAAACGCGGAGUUCACAUCCAUGUGAUGUAUCCUCCAAGAUUCUUGAGCCGUGAGAGCUAUAAGUAGUCUCACCGUGUCCAUCUUUGUAACUGGGCCGAACACUUCUUCGAAGUCCACACCUUGCUCUUGUACGUAUCCUUUAGCCACGAGCAUUGCCUUAUACUUCACCAAGUUCCUUUUAACAUCCUUUUUGACUUUGUAUACCCACUUGAGCUCUAUGGCAUUAUGUCCGUUGGGAAGAUCCGCGAUCUCCCAUGUAUCGUUGUCUCGGAUCGAACCCAACUCUUCAUUCAUAGCACGACGCCAACACUCCUCCAUAUUUGCAUCUUAAAAAAAUUCCGGUUCCUCGAUGUGCAAACUUCGUUGCCCUUUACUUUUCAUCUUCACCGAAUUUAUCUGAAGCCCUGCUUCUAGAGAUAGAUCCAACACGCGUCGUUCGUGUGCUAUUGGAGAAUCUAAACUUGCCAAAGUUACCGUUGCUGGCGAUUUUGCUUCUUUUACCUGGCUUCCAAGCCUGCUGUUUACUGGACUCCAUCGCUGCUGCCCGUCACCUUUUUCGGCAUUGUUCGGUCCUCCGCAUGGUGGUGAACUGCCUUCUGCACAAUUUUCUGCGCCUUGCAAAUUUUCCGGGCUUUGCUUCCCUGCUUUGUCUCGUAGACCAUCACCACCACGUGGUGGUUGGUUCCCUGGCUUGUGUGCAUGAGGCAUAUAGUGGCCAGUCUCAUCCAGCCCGUUUGUUGGGCUGCACGCGCUAUCCGGCAAGGCAGCACCAGCCACGUACAUGUUGCUGCUACUGCUGCUUUCAGUUGCCGCUGGGCUGCCGCCUGCAGUGCCAGCAACCUGGCUCGCACACGUGCUCACUGAGUCAUCGAGCGAAGCACUCUCGCCCGGCUCCUGCAACGCAGCCGAUGGAGCUGGUGAACUGGCGUGUGACGCGACACCGCUCGUUGCCACCUUCACAACGCCACUAGACCCAUCCGCGCAACUCGUCGUUGCACUAUCCAAAAUCACGUAUGCGCCAAAUUCAUCUGGUCCGAGUGCAGCUCGCCGCAUGUUGCGUUCUUCUGGGGUGAUCGCUUCAUCACGCCCCGCGUCAUGUUCUUCUGGCGACACAUCUUCGCCGUUUUCUAGCGCGACCACACCAUCACGCAUUGUGUCAUGGACUUUUGACGCCACUUCAUCGCCUGAAUCUAGCGCGAACACACAGUCAUGCCUUGUGUCAUGGACUUCUGGUGCCACGUCUUCGCCGUUCUCGAGCGCGAUCACAUCGUCAUGCCUUACGUCAUAGUCUUCUGGCGCCACGACUUCGCCUGGGUUUACUGAUGUAAUCACACUAUCACGCCCUGGGUCAUGGUCUUCUGGCGCCAUAACUUCGCCUGGGUUUACUGACGCAGAUGCACUCACCGGACCCGUGUCCAGCUGACCAAGAUCAUCUGGAUCCUCUUCGUCCACUAGCUCGCACAUUAGCAUCAUAUCCCCAUCGUCUCCUUCCUCGGCCAUGAGCGCCCGUUGCUUCGGUGCUUCCUCGCAGUUAGUCUUGAAGUGACCGACGAGGCCACACUUAUGACACCUCACUUUUCUGAUGUCAAACUUCCUCCUCGGUGGUGCAGGCGCAUCCUCGUCGUCCGAGUCGGCGAAGUUCUUUCUCGCCGAGCGUUGCUUCCCCUUCCCCUUCUUCUUGCCGCUGCUCGUAGAUCCGCCUUGCUUUUCUUUCGACAGGGCGAUCCAUUGCGCCUUUGUAAGCAUGAGGUGCUCACUCGCCUCCGCGUCGCCGAAACUGAGACGAAUUCUCUCGUCAUGGGCCUUGAACCUUUCGACGAGAUCCUCAACCGUGAGAGUCUUCAGGUCGAGACAUUGCUCGAUCGACGUGACAAUCUGAAUGUAGCGUGCCGGCGCGGCGUGCAAAUAUCGUCGGACGAUCGCAACUUCUUCUAGGGUUGAACCAUAGCUGCGUAUGCCAUUGACGAGGGUCUUGAGACGGGCGGCAAACUGAUCAACCGUCUCACUUUCAUCCAUCUUCAGGCACUCGUAGCUUCUCAUCAGGGACUGAAGGUGUGCUUCCUUGACACGGUCAUGACCCUGGUGCAGGAUCUUGAUGGUCUCCCAUGCCUCCUUCGCCGAGUUCUUUCCGACGAGGUGUUGCAGCACAUCCUUCGGCAUGGCGGAGUAGAUCGCAGUUAACGCCUGACGAUCCUUCCGGUACUUCGCCGCGCCCUUUGCGUACUCGGCGCCGCCCGGGUCGACGGCUUCCCAGAACUCAGCUCCCUCCAUCGCGACCUCCAUGUUCAUCGCCCAUAGUGCGUAGUCCUCUCGAUUCAGACGGGGAAUUGUGAUCCCCCACCAUCGGCAUCGGUGCUCCCGCUGCCGCCGUCACAAUCUCCUUGCCCGUGGUCAACAUGAUCCUUCGAUUGCUUUCCGAGAAUCACGUCAAUACCAAAGCUCUAGAUACCAGUUGUUGGCACAGGCCCGAUCAAACAUUGCACGACGGCUCCUUGACGAGUACUUUCCGUCGACCGAACACGUACGUACGAAACCACGCUUGAUUAAUUCUUCCUGAGGCAACGUGCACGUACAAAACUAGCUGAUGGAUGUUGAAGCUAGCUAGCUUAGUACGUAGCAACGGCUGGAUACUUAAUCGAUCUAGACUAGCACAACUCGGCGAAACACAAGAUAUUUGAUGGCUAAUAGGUGCGUGUCGCACCUAUGCUUUGUAUUGCUUUGAUCUGAGUUGAUUACAGAUUACAGGGGUAUACCUAUGUAUAUAUAGUAUAUAGGAUCAAACGCUAGUAAACCUACACGUCUACACAGUCCUAAUCCUAAUACUAUUAGGUGAUUGCACCAAGUCCGAGCCGGACUAGGCCACACAUCAUGGUUAUUUCCAACACUCGGCUCCUUCAGAGCUGUUGUGCUAUGUUGUGAUAGCUCCUCCUGGGCUGCUCUGUUUAGAUGGGUACAUCUGCUUUUAAGCUGCUGUUUGUUGACUGUGAGUGUCUGCUGUCCUGAUGAUUAUAAGGCCCUUGCAAUCAUAUGUUGGAAUGUCAGGGGCCUAAAUUGCCCUGAUCGACGCUCAACGGUACAUGAGACCAUCGUCGCAAUGCCCUAUGAUAUCGUUUGCAUUCAAGAAUCCAAACUGCAAAACCUCGACGCCGCGACGUUCUUGGGAGGAUAUAGGCUGCGGGGGUUCACCCAAAAACCUGCGCUAGGUACUAAGGGAGGGAUAAUCCUGCUUUGGGAUGAGAAUAAGAUCCUGGUGUUUGAUGUUCACACCGGUGUUUUUGCCUCUCGGCAACGAUCACGUCACUGCUUGACCAGUACUCUUUCAGACUCUCUACGGUCUACGGGCCUACUUCACAUGCCUUGAAGGAUGAGUUCUUCUCUGAACUAGAGGCCUCUCGGCCUCCCGCAGGCACAAAAUGGCUCGUUAACGGCAACUUCAACCAAAACUACCGGGCUCGCGACAAAAGCAAUCGUAACAUUUGUCUCUCCAGGAUGAACCGUUCUCGUGACACUCUUGCUUCCUGUGAAUUGAAGGAAAUUCACCUGCAAAAUAGAAGAUUUACCUAGAGCAACGAGCGCAAUAACCCGACACUUUGCAAGCUCGAUAGCUUCUUUUGCAACGCCGAGUGGGAUCUACACUUCAACGAUCACAUCCUCCCUGCCCUCUCCUCUUCGCUUUCCGAUCAUUGCCCUCUGCUUGUGGAUGACCGUGGUCCCAAGCGCCCGCGAACCUUCAAGUUCGAAAAUUUCUGGAUCAAGCUCCCAGGGUUCCUUCAGGUCGUUAGGGACCCUUGGGAUACACCCGUUCCUCACACCGAACCUUGUCAUAAGGUGUAUCACAAGCUUGCUAAUACCACGAAAAGGCUUCGCAAGUGGGGUCCUGACUUCUUCUCUGAGGCUAAGUUGCAGCUGCACAUGGCCCUUUCGGUCAUCCUCCGGCUCGACGAAGCACACGAUACCUGCCCUCUCUCUCUUGCUGAGGCUGACAUCCGUCGUAGGCUUAAGAGGCGAGUGAACUAGCUGUGCUGGAAAGAUCUAGGAAGAAGCAAUGUGCGAGAAUUACCAACCUCUGAAAGGGUGACGCAAACACUAAAUUCUUUCAUCGGAGAGUCAAUGCUAGGAGGAGAAAAAAAGUUAUCCACCGUUUGUGUACGGGUCAUGGAUGGGCUACAAAGCACGAUGACAAGGAGCAAGUCAUCCAGCAGCAUUUCGCCUCCUCGUUUGCCAAGGGGCCACCCAAGAAGCGUGACUUUAUUUGGGAGGCCUUGCCAUUGCCCGUGGUGGACCUCUCUUCCCUUUGCGAGCCGUUCACCGAGCUAGAGCUUUGGGAGGCCAUCAAGGUCUGCCCGGAGACAAGGCCACCGGUCCGGAUGGAUUCUCAGGCGCGUUCUUCAAGUCUUGCUGGACCAUUAUAAAAGAUGACCUCAUGGAGGUUAUUCUUGCUUUCUCCAGUCUGCACUCGGCUAGCUUGCAUUGGCUCAACUCGGCCAAUAUCACCCGCCUGCCAAAGAAAGAUGGUGCCCAGUCUAUUGGUGAUUUCCGCCCCAUUAGCCUCAUCCACGCGGUGGCAAAAAUUAUUGCCAAGAUGUUAGCAUCCCGGCUUGCUCCUUUCAUGAACAAGCUUACAUCACAUGCGCAGAGUGCGUUUAUCAAGACAAGGAGCAUACAAGACAACUUCCUAUUUGUCCACAACUACGCUCGCAGACUCCAGCGCACCAAAACCUCGGCCAUGUUGUGCAAGCUUGACAUCAAGAAGGCUUUCGACUCUGUCAGCUGGGAGUACAUGUUCGAUCUACUACAGCGGCUGGGCUUUCCUUCGCGUUUCAGAGAUUGGUUGGCUGCUCUUUGGUCUUCUGCAUCGUCCAGAGUAAUCAUCAAUGGAAUACCGGGAAAGCCAAACGCCCAUAGCUGUGGACUGCGUCAGGCAGCCCCUGUGUCGCCGCUUCUAUUCGUGCUCGACAUCGACCCCUUGCAGUACAUCCUUGAAGCCGCCACCUGCAAUGGUGACUUGCAUCCGCUGAAGGAAAUAUGCCCUAGAGGCAAUAAUAAAGUUAUUAUUUAUUUCCUUAUAUCAUGAUAAAUAUUUAUUAUUCAUGCUAGAAUUGUAUUAACCGGAAACAUAAUACAUGUGUGAAUACAUAGACAAAUAGAGUGUCACUAGUAUGCCUCUACUUGACUAGCUCGUUGAUCAAAGAUGGUUAUGUUUCCUAGCCAUAGACAGGAGUUGUCAUUUGAUUAACGGGAUCACAUCAUUAGGAGAAUGAUGUGAUUGACUUGACCCAUUCCGUUAGCUUAGCACUUGAUCGUUUAGUAUUCUGCUAUUGCUUUCUCCAUGACUUAUAGAUGUUCCUAUGACUUUGAGAUUAUGCAACUCCCGUUUACCGGAGGAACACUUUGUGUGCUACCAAACGUCACAACGUAACUAGGUGAUUAUAAAGAUGCUCUACAGGUGUCUCCAGAGGUACUUGUUGGGUUGGCGUAUUUCGAGAUUAGGAUUUGUCACUCCAAUUGUCGGAGAGGUAUCUCUGGGCCCACUCGGUAAUACACAUCACUAUAAGCCUUGCAAGCAUUGUAACUAAUGAGUUAGUUGCGGGAUGAUGUGUUACGGAAUGAGUAAAGAGACUUGCCGGUAACGAGAUUGAACUAGGUAUUGAGAUACCGACGAUCGAAUCUCGGGCAAGUAACAUACCGAUGACAAAGGGAACAACGUAUGUUGUUAUGCGGUUUGACCGAUAAAGAUCUUCGUAGAAUAUGUGGGAGCCAAUAUGAGCGUCCAGGUUCCGCUAUUGGUUAUUGACCGGAGACGUGUCUCGGUCAUGUCUACAUAGUUCUCGAACCCGUAGGGUCCGCACGCUUAAAGUUCGGUGACGAUUUGUAUUAUGAGUUAUGUAAUUUGAUGUACCGAAGGUAGUUCGGACUCCCGGAUGAGAUCGUGGACAUAACGAGGAGUCUCGAAAUGGUCGAGACGUAAAGAUCGAUAUAUUGGACGACUAUAUUCGGACAUCGAAAAGGUUCCGAGUGAUUCGGGUAUUUUCGGAGUACCGGGGAGUUACGGGAAUUCACCGGGAGAAGUAUUGGGCCUUAUUGGGCCAUACGGGAAUAGAGGAGAGAGGCCAAAAGGAAGGGGGCGCGCGCCCCCCUCUGGUCCGAAUUGGACAAGGGGUGCAGCCCCCUUUUCCUUCUCCCUCUCCCCCUCUUUCCUUAUCUCCUACUCCGGAAAGGAAAGGGGAAUCCUACUAGGACUUGGGAGUCCUAGUAGGACUCCCCACACUUGGCGCGGCCCCUCUAGGGCCAGCCUCUCCCUCCCUCCUUUAUAUACGGGGGCAGGGGGGCACCCCAUGGAGACACAAGUUGAUCUGUUGAUCUCUCCCAGCCGUGUGCGGUGCCCCCCUCCAUCAUAUUCCACCUCGGUCAUAUCGUAGCGGUGCUUAGGCGAAGCCCUGCAUCGGUAGAACCAUCAUCACCGUCACCACGCCGUCGUGCUGAUGGAACUCUCCCGUGAAGCUCUGCUAGAUCGGAGUUCGCGGGACGUCAUCGAGCUGAACGUGUGCUGAACUCGGAGAUGCCGUACGUUCGGUACUUGGAUCGGUCGGAUCGUGAAGACGUACGACUACAUCAACCGCGUUGUGCUAACGCUUCCGCUUUCGGUCUAUGAGGGUACGUGGACACACUCUCCCCUCUCGUUACUAUGCGUCACCAUGAUCCUGUGUGUGCGUAGGAAUUUUUUUGAAAUUACUACGUUUCCCAACAGUGGACCAUUCCGGAACCCUUCAGCCCGGGACCCUUCUGAUGUACAAAUCUUUACCUCUGGACCAUUCCGGAACUCCUCGUGAUGUCCGGGAUCUCAUCCGGGACUCCGAACAACUUUCGGGUUACCGCAUACUAAUAUCUCUACAACCCUAGCGUCACCGAACCUUAAGUGUGUAGACCCUACGGGUUCGGGAGACACGCAGACAUGACCGAGACGACUCUCCGGUCAAUAACCAACAGCGGGAUCUGGAUACCCAUGUUGGCUCCCACAUGCUCCUCGAUGAUCUCAUCGGAUGAACCACGAUGUCGAGGAUUCAAGUAAUCCCGUAUACAAUUCCCUUUGUCAAUCGGUACGUUACUUGCCCGAGAUUCGAUCGUCGGUAUCCCAAUACCUCGUUCAAUCUCGUUACCGACAAGUCACUUUACUCGUACCGUAAUGCAUGAUCCCGUGACCAAUCACUUGGUCACAUUGAGCUCAUUAUGAUGAUGCAUUACCGAGUGGGCCCAGAGAUACCUCUCCGUCAUACGGAGUGACAAAUCCUAGUCUCGAUCUGUGCCAACCCAACAGACACUUUCGGAGAUACCUGUAGUGCACCUUUAUAGCCACCCAGUUACGUUGUGACGUUUGGUACACCCAAAGCAUUCCUACGGUAUCCGGGAGUUGCACGAUCUCAUGGUCUAAGGAAAUGAUACUUGACAUUAGAAAAGCUUUAGCAAACGAACUACACGAUCUAGUGCUAUGCUUAGGAUUGGGUCUUGUCCAUCACAUCAUUCUCCCAAUGAUGUGAUCCCGUUAUCAAUGACAUCCAAUGGCCAUGGUCAGGAAACCGUAACCAUCUAUUGAUCAACGAGCUAGUUAACUAGAGGCUCACUAGGGACAUGUUAUGGUCUAUGUGUUCACACAUGUAUUACGAUUUCCAGAUAACACAAUUAUAGCAUGAACAAUAGGCAAUAAUCAUGAACAAGGAAAUAUAAUAAUAACUAUUUUAUUAUUGCCUUUAGGGCAUAUUUCCAACAGUCUCCCACUUGCACUAGAGUCAAUAAUCUAGUUACAUUGUGAUGAAUCGUACACCCAUAGAGUUCUGGUGUUGAUCAUGUUUCGCUCGUGGAAGAGGUUUAGUCAAUGGAUCUGCGACAUUCAAAUCCAUAUGCACUUUACAAAUAUCUAUGUCUCCAUUUUGAACAUUUUCACGAACGGAGUUGAAGCGACGCUUGAUGUGCUUGGUCUUCUUAUGAAACCUGGGCUCCUUGGCAAGGACAAUAGCUCCAGUGUUGUCACAGAAGAGAGUCAUCGCCCCUGAUGCAUUGGGAAUAACUCCUAGGUCGGCAAUGAACUCCUUCAUCCAGAUUGCUUCAUGUGUUGCCUCCGAGGCUGCCAUGUACUCCGCUUCACAUGUAGAUCCCGCCACAACGCUUUGCUUGCAACUGCACCAGCUGACUGCCCCACCAUUCAAAAUAUACACGUAUCCGGUUUGUGACUUAGAGUCAUCCAGAUCUGUGUCGAAGCUAGCAUCGACGUAACCCUUUACGACGAGCUCUUCGUCACCUCCAUAAACGAGAAACAUAUCCUUAGUCCUUUUCAGGUACUUCAGGAUUCAUGCCGGGAUUACUUUGGUACCUUCCUACCAAACUUACGGCAAGGUUUACAUCAGGUCUGGUACACAGCAUGGCAUACAUAAUAGACCCUAUGGCCGAGGCAUAGGGGAGGACACUCAUCUUUUCUUUAUCUUCUGUCGUGGUCGGGCAUUGAGCCGUGCUCAAUCUCACACCUUGCAAUACAGGCAAGAACCCCUUCUUGGACUGAUCCAUAUUGAACUUCUUCAAUAUCUUGUCAAGGUAUGUGCUUUGCGAAAGAUCUAUGAGGCGUCUCGAUCUAUCUCUAUAGAUCUUGAUGCCUAAUAUGUAAGCAGCUUCUCCAAGGUCCUUUAUUGAAAAACACUUAUUCAAGUAGGCCUUUAUACUUUCCAAGAAUUCUAUAUCAUUUCCCAUCAAUAGUAUGUCAUCCACAUAUAAUAAGAGAAAUGCUACAGAGCUCCCACUCACUUUCUUGUAAACACAUGCUUCUCCAUAAGUCUGCGUAAACCCAAACGCUUUGAUCAUCUCAUCAAAGCGAAUGUUCCAACUCCGAGAUGCCUGCACCAGCCCAUAGAUUGAGCGCUGGAGCUUGCAUACUUUGUUAGCAUUCUUAGGAUAGACAAAACCUUCCGGCUGCAUCAUAUACAAUUCUUCCUUAAGAAAGCCGUUAAGGAAUGCCGUUUUGACGUCCAUUUGCCAUAUCUCAUAAUCGUAGAAUGCGGCAAUUGCUAACAUGAUUCGGACGGACUUCAGCUUCGCUACGGGUGAGAAGGUCUCAUCAUAGUCAACUCCUUGAACUUGUCGAUAACCCUUAGCGACAAGUCGAGCUUUAUAUAUGGUAACAUUUCCAUCCGCGUCCGUCUUCUUCUCAAACAUCCAUUUAUUUUCUAUUGCUCGCCGAUCAUCGGGCAAGUCUGUCAAAGUCCAUACUUUGUUUUCAUACAUGGAUCCUAUCUCGGACUGCAUGGCUUCAAGCCAUUUGUUGGAAUCUGGACCCGCCAUUGCUUCUUCAUAGUUCGAAGGUUCACCGUUGUCCAACAACAUGAUUUCCAGAACAGGGUUGCCGUACCACUCUGGUGCGGAACGUGUCCUUGUGGACCUACGAAGUUCAGUGGUAACUUGAUCAUGAUCAUCAUCAUUAACUUCCUCUCUAGUCGGUGUAGGCACCACAGAAACAUUUUCUUGUGCUGUGCUACUUUCUGGUUCGAGAGGGGUCAUCUCAUCAAGUUCCACUUUCCUCCCACUUACUUCUUUCGAGAGAAACUCCUUCUCCAGAAAGGACCCAUUCUUGGCAACGAAGAUCUUGCCUUCGGAUCUGUGGUAGAAGGUAUACCCAAUGGUUUCCUUAAGGUAUCCUAUGAAGACGCAUUUUUCCGACUUGGGUUCGAGCUUUUCAGGUUGAAGUUUCUUGACAUAAGCAUCGCAUCCCCAAACUUUAAGAAACGACAGCUUAGGUUUCUUUCCAAACCAUAAUUCAUACGGUGUCGUCUCAACGGAUUUCGACGGAGCCCUAUUUAAAGUGAAUGCGGCAGUCUCUAAAGCAUAACCCCAGAAUGAUAGCGGUAGAUCGGUAAGAGACAUCAUAGAUCGCACCAUAUCCAAUAGAGUGCGAUUACGACGUUUGGACACACCAUUACGCUGAGGUGUUCCAGGCGGCGUGAGUUGUGAAACAAUUCCACAUUUCCUUAAGUGUGUGCCAAAUUCGUGACUCAAAUAUUCCCCUCCAUGAUCAGAUCGUAAGAACUUUAUUUUCCUGUCACGUUGAUUCUCAACCUCACUCUGAAAUUCCUUGAACUUUUCAAAGGUCUCAGACUUGUGUUUCAUUAAGUAGACAUACCCAUAUCUACUCAAGUCAUCAGUGAGGGUGAGAACAUAACGAUAGCCACCGCGAGCCUCAACGCUCAUUGGACCGCACACAUCAGUAUGUAUGAUUUCCAAUAAGUUGGUUGCUCGCUCCACUGUUCCGGAGAACGGAGUCUUGGUCAUUUUGCCCAUGAGGCAUGGUUCGCACGUGUCAAAUGAUUCAUAAUCAAGAGACUCCAAAAGUCCAUCUGCAUGGAGUUUCUUCAUGCGUUUGACACCAAUGUGACCAAGGCGGCAGUGCCACAAGUAUGUGGGACUAUCAUUAUCAACCUUACAUUUCUUGGCAUUCACACUAUGAAUAUGUGUAACAUCACGUUCGAGAUUCAUUAAGAAUAAACCAUUGACCAGCGGGGCAUGACCAUAAAACAUAUCUCUCAUAUGAAUAGAACAACCAUUAUUCUCGGAUUUAAAUGAGUAGCCAUCUCGCAUUAAACGAGAUCCAGAUACAAUGUUCAUGCUCAAAGCUGGCACUAAAUAACAAUUAUUGAGGUUUAAAACUAAUCCCGUAGGUAAAUGUAGAGGUAGCGUGCCGACGGCGAUCACAUCGACCUUGGAACCAUUCCCGACGCGCAUCGUCACCUCGUCCUUCGCCAGUCUCCGCUUAUUCCGCAGCUCCUGCUUUGAGUUACAAAUAUGAGCAACCGCACCGGUAUCAAAUACCCAGGAGCUGCUACGAGCGCUGGUUAGGUACACAUCAAUAACAUGUAUAUCACAUAUACCUUUGGUAUUGCCGGCCUUCUUAUCCGCUAAGUACUUGGGGCAGUUCCGCUUCCAGUGACCGUUUCCCUUGCAAUAAAAGCACUCAGUCUCAGGCUUAGGUCCAUUCUUUGUCUUCUUCCCGGCAGCUUGUUACCGGGCGCGGCAACUCCCUUGCCGUCUUUCUUGAAGUUCUUCUUACCCUUGACUUUCUUGAACUUAGUGGUUUUAUUCACCAUCAACACUUGAUGCUCCUUUUUGAUCUCCACCUCCGCUGAUUUCAGCAUUGAAUAUACCUCAGGAAUGGUCUUUUCCAUCCCCUGCAUAUUGAAGUUCAUCACAAAGCUCUUGUAGCUAGGUGGGAGCGACUGAAGGAUUCUGUCAACGACCGCGUCAUCCGGGAGAUUAACUCCCAGCUGAGACAAGCGGUUGUGCAACCCAGACAUUUUGAGUAUGUGUUCGCUGACGGAACUAUUUUCCUCCAUCUUACAACUGUAGAACUUGUCGGAGACUUCAUAUCUCUCGACCCGGGCAUGAGCUUGGAAAACCAUUUUCAGCUCUUGGAACAUCUCAUAUGCUCCGUGCUGCUCAAAACGUUUUUGAAGUCCCGGUUCUAAGCUGUAAAGCAUGCCGCACUGAACCAGGGAGUAAUCAUCACUACGCGACUGCCAGGCGUUCAGAACGUCUUGAGUUGCUGGGAAAACAGGUGCAUCACCUAGCGGUGCUUCAAGGGCAUAUGCUUUCUUGGCAGCUAUGAGGAUAAUCUUCAGGUUACGGACCCAGUCCGUGUAGUUGCUACCAUCGUCUUUCAGCUUGGUUUUCUCUAGGAACGCGUUGAAGUUGAGGGCAACAUUAGCGUGGGCCAUUUGAUCUACAAGACAUAUUGUAAAGAUUUUUAGACUAAGUUCAUGAUAAUUAAGUUCAUCUAAUCAAAUUAUUAACGAACUCCCACUCAGACAGACAUCACUCUAGUCAUCUAAGUGAUACAUGAUCCGAGUCAACUAGGCCGUGUCCGAUCAUCACGUGAGACGGACUAGUCAUCAUCGGUGAACAUCUUCAUGUUGAUCGUAUCUGUUAUACGACUCAUGUUCGACCUUUCGGUCUCUUGUGUUCCGAGGCCAUGUCUGUACAUGCUAGGCUCGUCAAGUCAACCUAAGUGUAUUGCGUGUGUAAAUCUGGCUUACACCCGUUGUAUGCGAACGUUAGAACCUAUCACACCCGAUCAUCACAUGGUGCUUUGGAACAACGAACUUUCGCAAUGGUGCACAGUUAGGGGUAACACUUUCUUGAAAUUUUAGCGAGGGAUCACCUUAUUUAUGCUACCGUCGUUCUAAGCAAAUAAGAUAUAAAACAUGAUAAACAUCACAUGCAAUCAAAUAGUCACAUGAUAUGGCCAAUAUCAUUUUGCUCCUUUUGAUCUCCAUCUUCGGGGCGCCAUGUUCAUCAUCGUCACCGGUAUGACACCAUGAUCUCCAUCAUCAUGAUCUCCAUCAUCGUGUCUUCAUGAAGUUGUCUCGCCAACUAUUACUUCUACUGCUAUGGCUAACGGUUAGCAAUAAAGUAAAGUAAUUACAUGACGUUCCAGUUGACACACAGGUCAUAAAUAAAUUAAGACAACUCCUAUGGCUCCUGCCGGUUGUCAUACUCAUCGACAUGCAAGUCGUGAUUCCUAUUACAAGAACAUGAUCAAUCUCAUACAUCACAUAUAUCAUUCAUCACAUCCUUCUGGCCAUAUCACAUCACAUGACACUUGCUGCAAAAAUAAGUUAGACGUCCUCUAAUUGUUGUUGCAAACUUUUACGUGGCUGCUAUAGGUUUCUAGCAAGAACGAUUCUUACCUAUGCCAAAACCACAACGUGAUAUGCCAAUUUCUAUUUACCCUUCAUAAGGACCCUUUUCAUCGAAUCCGAUCCGACUAGCCACCUUAUGCAACUAGUGCAUGUCAGUCGGUGGAACCUGUCUCACGUAAGCGUACGUGUAAGGUCGGUCCGGGCCGCUUCAUCCCACGAUGCCGCCGAAUCAAGAUAAGACUAGUAACGGCAAGUAAAUUGACAAAAUCGACGCCCACAACAACUUGUGUUCUACUCGUGCAUAGAAACUACGCAUAGACCUAGCUCAUGAUGCCACUGUUGGACGGCACCGAUGAUCCUAGCGCCGAACGGACGGCACCUUCGCGUUCAACACACGUACGGUUGGGAGAGACGUCUCCUCCUUCUUGAUCCAGCAAGGGGAAGGAGAGGUUGAUGGAGAUCCAGCAGCACGACGGCGUGGUAGUGGAAGCAGCGGGAAUCUCGGCAGGGCUUCGCCAAGCUCAGCGAGAGGGAGAGGUGUUACGGGGGAGAGGGAGGCGCCAGGGGCUUGGGUGCGCAGCCCUCCCUCCCCCCUUUAUAUAGGGGCCCUGGGGGGCGCCGGCCCCUAGAGAUCUAAUCUCAAGGGGGGGGGGCGGCCAAGGGGGGACUUGCUCCCCAAGUCAGGUGGGGCGCCCCCCACCCCCAGGGUUUCCAACCCUAGGCGCAGGGGAAGGCCCAUGGGGGGCGCACCAGCCCACCAGGGGCUGGUUCCCUUCCCACUUCAGCCCAUGGGGCCCUCCGGGAUAGGUGGCCCCACACGGUGGACCCCCGGGACCCUUUCGAUAUACAAAUCUUUACCUCUGGACCAUUCCGGAACUCCUCGUGAUGUCCGGGAUCUCAUCCGGGAAUCCGAACAACUUUCGGGUUACCGCAUACUAAUAUCUCUACAACCCUAGCGUCACCGAACCUUAAGUGUGUAGACCCUACGGGUUCGGGAGACACGCAGACAUGACCGAGACGACUCUCCGGUCAAUAACCAACAGCGGGAUCUGGAUACCCAUGUUGGCUCCCACAUGCUCCUCGAUGAUCUCAUCGGAUGAACCACGAUGUCGAGGAUUCAAGUAAUCCCGUAUACAAUUCCCUUUGUUAAUCGGUACGUUACUUGCCCGAGAUUCGAUCGUCGGUAUCCCAAUACCUCGUUCAAUCUCGUUACCGACAAGUCACUUUACUCGUACCGUAAUGCAUGAUCCCGUGACCAAUCACUUGGUCACACUGAUCUCAUUAUGAUGAUGCAUUACCGAGUGGGCCCAGAGAUACCUCUCCGUCAUACGGAGUGACAAAUCCCAGUCUCGAUCUGUGCCAACCCAACAGACACUUUCGGAGAUACCUGUAGUGCACCUUUAUAGCCACCCAGUUACGUUGUGACGUUUGGUACACCCAAAGCAUUCCUACGGUAUCCGGGAGUUGCACGAUCUCAUGGUCUAAGGAAAUGAUACUUGACAUUAGAAAAGCUUUAGCAAACGAACUACACGAUCUAGUGCUAUGCUUAGGAUUGGGUCUUGUCCAUCACAUCAUUCUCCCAACGAUGUGAUCCCGUUAUCAAUGACAUCCAAUGGCCAUGGUCAGGAAACCGUAACCAUCUAUUGAUCAACGAGCUAGUUAACUAGAGGCUCACUAGGGACAUGUUAUGGUCUAUGUGUUCACACAUGUAUUACGAUUUCCGGAUAACACAAUUAUAGCAUGUACAAUAGGCAAUUAUCAUGAACAAGGAAAUAUAAUAAUAACCAUUUUAUUAUUGCCUCUAGGGCAUAUUUCCUACAGAUAUAUUGGACGACUAUAUUCGGACAUCGGAAAGAUUCCGAGUGAUUCGGAUAUUUUCGGAGUACCGGGGAGUUACGAGAAUUCACCGGGAGAAGUAUUGGGCCUUAUUGGGCCAUACGGGAAUAGAGGAGGGAGGCCAAAAGGAAGGAGGCGCGCGCCCUCCCUCGGGUCCGAAUUGAACAAGGGGUGCGGCCCCCUUUUCCUUCUCCCUCUCCCCCUCUUUCCUUCUCUCCUACUCCUACUACUUGGAAGGGCUCCUAGUUCUACUAGGAAAAGGUGAAUCCUACUCCCGGUGGGAGUAGGACUCCCCUAGGGCGCGCCAUAGAGAGGGUCGGCCCUCCCCCUCCUCCACUCCUUUAUAUACGGGGAGGGGGGCACCCCUUGGAGACAGAACAAUUGAUCUCUUGAUCUCUUAGCCGUGUGCGGUGCCCCCCUCCACCAUAUUCCACCUCGGUCAUAUCGUAGCGGUGCUUAGGCGAAGCCCUGCGUCGGUAGCAACAUCAUCACCGUCAUCACGCCGUCGUGCUAACGGAACUCUCCUGUGAAGCUCUGCUGGAUCGGAGUUCGCGGGACGUCAUCGAGCUGAACGUGUGCUGAACUCGGAGGUGCCGUACGUUCGGUACUUGGAUCGGUCGGAUCGUGAAGACGUACGACUACAUCAACCGCGUUGUGCUAACGCUUUCGCUCUCGGUCUACGAGGGUACGUGGACACACUCUCCCCUCUCGUUGCUAUGCAUCACCAUGAUCCUGUGUGUGCGUAGGAAAUUUUUUAAAAUUACUAUGUUCACCAACAAAUAUCACCAUGGCUGGACGAAAUACUUACGCCAAGUCGUCCAUAACCUCCCAAGCCAUCCAUCAGCUCAUACCACUACACAUGAAGAAGGGUGUUCUGCACGAGAUCAUUAAGAUUAUAAGGGCUUUCCUAUGGUCUGGCACACACAAGGUUAAUGGAGGAAAAUGCAAAGUGAGGUGGGAGAUUGUGUGCAGGCCAACUUCUCCGGGUGGUCUAGGCAUCCUGGAGUUGGACAAAUUCUCCCCUGCCCUGAGGUUGUGUUGGCCUUGGUGGGAGUGGAAGGACCCCCGAAGAGCUUGGGUUGGGCUAGGUACUCCUUGUGACGAUGAGGACAUGGACCUUUUCUAUAAGGCCACGUCCGUCACGCUUAGGGAUGGGAGGACAACCAAGUUUUGGCACGCGCCGUGGCUAGGAGGGGCCAAGCCUAAGGAUAUUGCACCCUCCAUCUUCGACGUCUCUAGGUUUACCAAAGGUUGCGUCCAAAUUAAAAGCUAUGCACAACGGCGACUGGGUCCGGCACAUCAACACCUCCAAAAUCACCACCGCACAACAUAUUUUUGAGUUCGUGGCUCUCUGGGAGAAGGUGGCCAUUGUACAGCUGCAGGACACCACCCCAGAUCACAUUGUUUGCACGCUAUAUGCCUCUGGAGUUUACGAUGCCACCUCGGCUUACCGGGCCCAAUUUGAUGACAUUGCUCCUACAACUAUGAACCCACUGGUUUGGAAAAACUGGGCCCCUUCCAAAAUGCAAAAUAUUUGCAUGGCUCGUGCUUCAAGAUAGAGUCUGGACGACCGAUAGAUUGCAGUGGGGUUGGCCAAACUGUGGAGUUUGCCAGCUCUGCAAAGUCCAGGGAGAGUCGGCCGCACACAUGCUCUUCAAGCGUCGAUACUCCGUGCGCAUCUGGAGGAUGAUCCAAUCCUGGCUUGGUCUGGUUGGCUUGGACCCCGACUCUUGGAGCGCGCUUGUUUCGAUCAAGGAGUGGUGGUCCUCCUUGUGCCUUCCUGCUGGUAGACGGCGCCGUGCUUUGUCCUCCCUCCUUCUGCUUGUCGUGUGGGAGCUGUGGAACAAGAGCAAUGCUCGCGUCUUCCAUGGAAUCUCCUCCAUGCCUUCUGCGGUCUUCGCCAAAAUCAAGCAUGAGGCUUCCCUUUGGGGUUUGGACGGUGCUAAGCACUUGAGAACUUUGAUGCCGCGAGAGUAGUCCCGUUUCUUUUUCUGGGCAUCUAUGUCCCUAUUACUUUGUUGUAAAACUCCUUAUUGAAUAUGAUGAGGCAAAGCUUUUGCCUCCAUUUCAAAAAAAAUGUGUACAACUAUAUUCUUAUGGAAUAUAUUUUCAUAUGUACAAUUAUUUUAAUUUGAAAAGGAAUUUUUAAUACAAAUCAUAAGUAUAGAACAGGAAGGCUGAAUUGGAUGAACACAAUAUCGGAGGUCUGGGGAAAUGCAUUGAGCACCAAGAAAUAUCUGAAAAUUUCAAAACAAAAAAAUUGAAUUUUUGAGAUAUGAAACCUGGGUGCCCGUUGUACACCCAUGUUCAUUUUCAUGUGGAAUGGGUGCCUGUGCUAUCCGUGGCACUGGAAUUACCGUGUGAUAUAAGAUACAUCUAUUUUUUUUAUACAUAUGAUGUUUUCCAUUUUUACUGACAUUACCACGGGCAGCCCUUCCCCACGAAACUAAACACGGCAGGGAUUCCUUGACAAUUCCAUGAAUACUCGCCUCAGCAUGCGCACGUAUUUCCUCCUUUUCCUUUUGGACCCGCAGCCACAUGAGGGCGAGAAGACCGAUGGAUAUGGUGUGGUGUGGAUCAUCAGUUUCGUCGACGGCCUGAUUGAUGGGUUCUUGUGUUGCUGCCUUAGCUUGCUUUUUAUUCACAAGUGCCGCUGGCUCUUAGCUUGUGUGACUGAAGAAGGACGGACCUCGUCGUGGUGAAGCCCGAGGCCAUCACGAGGGAUGAAGCCGUUCUCGUCGAGAUUAGUUAGUUUGUCUUGUUUUUCUCAGAGUUGUGAAUAACAAAUGGAUGAUAGCUUGUUUGUUGUGUUGAUUUUUGUAGUGGAACAUGUUGCUUACAACACGCUUUGGUAGGAUGCAUUGUGAGUAGUAGCUCUUAGAAAUCAUCCUGGUAUGUUAUUGUCGGCGUAGGAGGAGGCAAAACACACAAGUUUGCAAUUCACUUGUUGUAUUUGUGCUCUCAUAUGUGAUAUCUCAUUUACACCAUUGGUAUUCUUCUCAAUUUUCUCGCCUCUUGGAUCAAGGAAAUGCUUAUUUUUUUUGCCUGAUGAGAUGGAUCAUACAUGUAUCAAUGACCAACAGCCGUGUAUAUGUGUAUGUAUGUAUGUAUGUAUGUAUGUAUGUAUGUAUGUAAAAGAGAUGUAGUGGCUGGCUUUUAGAAAGAAAGAAAGAAAAUUCUUCCAGUUGUAUAUUUGGUAUUGAUGGGGAAAACAAGUCAAGUCGGUUAGGUACAAAGAUACUCUCUCUAUUUGAAAAUACUUGAUGUGAUUUUGAACUAAAACCAUGCCAAGUAUACCGAAUGGAGGGAGUAUUAUAUUUCUGCUCUCACUUAUUUAGAUUUGCUUAUGACGGAUUGUUCAUCAUACUCAUUAUUCGUCCUUGCGAAAUAAUAUAACUAUUUUAUUACCGUUAAUGUGUGGAUGAAACAAUUUACUGCUUCAUCAUUCAACGUUCUAGUCUAGCAAAAACUGUCAUCAUCAGUUCAUCCAGAAUAGAUUUACAAACUGGUUGCUAUCUACCGGCAGCGAUGAUGACCCUGUCUAGGGUCUUGGUUGUAUUUUCUUCUUUGUGCAAGGUCUUUUCGCUUUCUGUGGGACAGCUGUACUUCUUGACGGUUCCUGGGUGUUCUAAUAAAAUUCACAGGUUAUUUGCAAAAGCAAAAAAAAGAGAGCAUAAGUUGAAUGCUGACCAUAAAGAAUAGAGUAAUUAGGAAAUGAAUUAUAACUGGGGUGAAAAUUCCAUCCGACGUACUCUUAGUACCCCGAAUGGAUGGAUCCUUCAAUUCCACCUACACACUAUAUAAUUGAGUACCUACCAACCUUGCGUUUUUUGAGGGAGCACUAAGGCUGGCCAUAGUAGUGGUAUCAUAGCUGGUAUCAUGCACUCGGAAAUAGCAAACUCGCUGAUGUGGCAAAAAAUUAAAAAAAAGAGGGUUAGAGCAACAUAGGUAGAUACCGUAUCAUGUUAAAUCCUAUGCUACUUUGUGUCAUGCAUGACAAUAAAUAUGAUUAUCGAUGAUACUACUCUAUGAUGCUAUACACUAUGGAGGUAGUAUCAUACACUAAUAUCAUAUGCAUGAUACUAGUAUAUGAUACUCCCCACUAUGAGUAGCCUAUAAAGCUCUCCAUAGAUGGAUGGAUGGAUGGAUACUAGGCAAUCCCUCCAAGCUAGAUCCUUCAAUUCUCCCUCGAAAACUAGGUGUGCCCCUUGAAUUGUCUCCCAAACCAACGNNNNNNNNNNNNNNNNNNNNNNNNNNNNNNNNNNNNNNNNNNNNNNNNNNNNNNNNNNNNNNNNNNNNNNNNNNNNNNNNNNNNNNNNNNNNNNNNNNNNNNNNNNNNNNNNNNNNNNNNNNNNNNNNNNNNNNNNNNNNNNNNNNNNNNNNNNNNNNNNNNNNNNNNNNNNNNNNNNNNNNNNNNNNNNNNNNNNNNNNNNNNNNNNNNNNNNNNNNNNNNNNNNNNNNNNNNNNNNNNNNNNNNNNNNNNNNNNNNNNNNNNNNNNNNNNNNNNNNNNNNNNNNNNNNNNNUCACCCACUCCUCUCCUCUCCAUGAUAUGGUGGCUGGCACCCCGUGCCCCCGCCCCCAUUGCUAGCUCCUCUUUUCUCCUUAUUAGUCCAACACUUCACACGCUCAUGUACAACAUCGCCGACCUGCCCCUACCAUGAUGCAUCUCCGACCGGCUUGCAUGUUUGUUCCGCGCUCUCUAAUCGAUGUAAAACCGCGCGCUGCUUUCUCCAACUAAUCUCCUUCUUGAAGGAAAUCAGUCAAUCUUGGCACUCAGCCUAUUGCCCUUUAUCUUUUAUUUAUUUAUCGACCUGCUGAUGCAUCUGUUGACAUGGAAGGGAAAUGCGGACCAGGCAGGAGCACAACGAAAACCCGGGCAGUAGAUAGCAUAUAUGUUUCCACCACGACGAUGCGACAUCUGCAUCAAUUCAAGCAAAGGUUAGUGGAAAAAUUAGUAUAUGCAUUGACAAUGUGUAAUCCUCCUUUCCAGUUCUUAGACCAUCCUGUUCCAUUAUGCUCAUAUGCCGUAGCAUUUUGAGAGUCACUAUCUGGAUAACUUACAAGGCAUGGUUUCUGCAGAUUUUGAAUCUGAGGUGGAAAAUGACAUCAUUCCGCUCUUUCGGAGAGUCACUAGUUCAUCAUCGACAUCGUGGGCAAUCAGCUGAUGUAGAUCUCUGAGCCCUUGUGCUCUGAAAUUGAACCUGAACCUGGAUCGUGUCGAUGAUAUGGACAGUCACGCUAUCAUUAUUCAUUGUUAAUCACGUAACAUUGCCCCUACAUUUUUUUUCUCUGUUCCUUUUUAGAAUCCCCAAACCAUUUAGAUUGUAGAGCAAAGAUAGAUGAUGGACAGCUACAGUAAUCACCAGGGCUGAUUACUGCUACCUUUCUCUUGUUUUCAACAGUUGAUGACUUCGAAUUAUUCCAGCAGAGUGUGGCGUAUAAGGAUAUGUAAUGUUUCUGCACUUGCAUCCAUAGAAAUUUGGGACUUGGUAAAUUCUUUUUUGAAUGAAGGGGAACUUUUUUUCACCAAGGACAAGACAAUAAUAAGAUAUAAGUAAAUUAUUUACUGAACUGAAGAUGGAACGGUCUAUUUUCAAAGCUCCAAGAAAGUAACCAUGACAGUUUCUGAGUUAAAGGUGUUAAUGAUCCAAUUUCAUUUGGUAUGGACUAGAAAAUAAUACCACACGCUCUUAAUUUAGAAAAAAAUGGUCUAUAAUCUGAGUAUUUGUAGCUACGACCCAAACAAAGAUGGUCUUUGCCUACAAAAGGGCAAGUUCAAGAUUUCACAUGUCUUUGUAGAUUUAAUACGUACAAAGAAACAGGCAGGUGAUCUUCAAUUUCGUCUCCAAUCCCGAUUUUGCUGAGAUGUUCAUCCACAAUCCGGAUCAGUACCGAUAUAAAAGAAAGACGAAUAAUGCACUGUUUAUUAAGAUUGCACCCUGGAUAGUAUUUUUUUUAAUGGUUAACAGGUAAAAUAACAUCAUAUUUAGAUUCCAUAUAUUUUUCUAAUCAAAUUCCAUAUAUAAUAUGUUAAAUUUGGAGUUACGGUUUAGAAAAUACGAGUAUUUUAAAAAACAUUUAAUAUGUACUGCGGGUUUAAUAUAAGAAACAUCAGGGUUUUUUUUUUUAUGAAAUAGUAUGACGGACUAAAAAUACAUAUUUUUUUUAUUAGUAGGUAUAGGUAUAGAUAGAUGAUCCAACUUACUGAACUGGACUUACCCAAAAGUAAAGAAAGUUUUCCAAGCACUUAUUUACUUUUGUUAAUACUCCCCAAGCUUGCCGAAGCAAAGCCCCUCCCACGCUUGCCGAUCCGAAAUUCAUAACAAGGGCAGAUGGUGGUAAUUUUACCUCGCACCUAACAGUUGGCUGAUCAGAAAUGAGCAGGUAGAGUUGCAUUAGGUUGUAAGGGACUGACGGAUGUAGAGGUGCAUUAGGCGCCCGUGAUUCUUCCUCAUGCGUUAUGCUGCUGAAAUUUUUAGCGAAAAUUCCCACGACUUUAAGGUGUUGGUUGCAAAAUGUUCUUAUUUGUACGAAAACAAAAACUUCAGAGUCUUGGAUGCCAAUAGAAAGCGACAGAACGACUGCCCAGCAGCGGCAAGAACAGAAAGGGACAGAUCGACUGGGCCAUCAGCGGCCGGGACACAAACCGAUGACCAAUUGAAAUACGGAGAAGCAUCGACGCAGGAAGGAUGUGUCAGGGCACAAAUUCCAACGUGACAGCGACAACAGCACACAACGAAAACGAUGGACGCAACAGAAGCACGUCGGAAGACCGACCAGAUCAGCCUGCCCCACAUGCAAUGGAAAAACGCUAAGCCAACCAAAGCGAAUGCCACACCCGUUCAAAAAAUUUGAAUGAAAUAACUGAAUACUACAAGGCGUUCCUACACCGCCAGGUACCCAAAAAAAAUGGCACGUGCCACGUCCAAAAUUCACCAUGGGUCUUUUUCAUCCAAGUGUAUCAAUCAUGGAGCGAAAACCUUGCCGGAUAUAGAGGCUUGGGUAUGAAACGGGAUUUUCAUCUUUGUGCAUGUCAACUCCGUGACAUGGUUUUCACUUUCAGUUUCAGCUGAAAUAUUUUUGCAAAAAAAUCAUUGAAAUUCACUUUUCAAAAAUAUUUCACCAAGCACCAAACUCACUGGAAUUCAGUGAAUAUCAGUGACUGGGUUUGCAUUUUCAGCCAAAGGGCCGAAUUCAUUCACUUAAAGUAUUCAACCAAAUAUUUGGAAUAUAUGACAAAAUAUUUGAAUUUUCAUAUUGCUGAAAUAUUUUGACCGAAAGGUAACCAUUUCAGUAUCUACAGAAAUUAUUGAAAUUCAAUGAAUUUCAUAGACAUCUCACUGAAAAUGAAAACUAUGCUUUGUGACCAUAAAAAUUAGGAUAUGUUCGCUGGAGGGACGGAGACAACUGCAUCGACCACCGAGUGGGUCAUGCCAGAGCUCAUAAGGAACCCAGGCGCAAUGGCCAAGGCGCAGAAGGAGGUGCGGUGUGCAUUUGACCACAAGAACCGACAAGACCAUGAGGCACACAUGGAGGAGCUUCGCUACACAAAGAUGGUAGUCAAGAAGGCCAUGAGGCUUCACCCGGUGGUUCCGCUCCUGCUCCCCCGUGUCUGCAGGCAGACCUGCGAUGUCCAUGGGUACAGGGUCAAGGAGGGCACCCUUGUCUUCGUCAACGCAUGGGCGAUGGCAAGGAGCCCCGAGUACUGGCAGGACGCAGAGGAGUUCAGGCCAAAGAGGUUCGAGGACAACACGGCGGACUACAAAGGCACACAGCUAGAGUACCUGCCAUUUCGAAGUGGAAGGAGGAUGUGUCCUGGGAACAUCUUUGCAUUAGCCUUGGUAGAACUCGUCGUGGCACGACUUCUAUACUACUUCGACUAGAGCCUCCCUGCCGGAAUGCGGCCGGAGCUGGACAUGGACACCGUUGUAGGCUUGACGGCAAAGAGAAGCAACCAUCUGCUCCUGGUGGCGUCACCGUAUAAUGUGCCGAUUCAUAAGGAGAUUGAUGACUGCAAAGCUCACUGAUGUUCAUUAGUAGUAUAGUAUAAUAAAUAAGUUGUAGGCAUCCCACAGCGGAUAGUAUCGUACUGCAUGAUAUUAUUUUAGUUACUAUCAUCCUGUUGUAUAGUGUAUAUCAUAAUACCAUCUUAUUUAUCCGCUUGUAAUGUAAAGUUAUGUACAAGAUCUAUUUACCAAUUCCUUAUUGGGUGAUCUAUGAUACUGUUAUCUUCUCUUUUUUUUUUGCGUCAAAAAGAGCAUCUCCAGCCGUUCGGACCCCCAGGGCGACGAAAAAGAGCCGCCUGGGGGCGAGCCGGCGCUAGAUUGGCCCUUAGGGGCGACCUAGCUCCCAAUUGUCGGCCCACAGGUCGCCCCGGGUUCGGCAACGUCCGUACAAAAUAUAUGAAAACUCGGCGUUUUUUGCACGAACUCGGUGAAACUUUAUUAAAAUUUAUACAAAAAACACAGAACACAUGCAAACUACGCCUUAACAAUGCCUAAACUACGCCUAGCCGCCACCGCCGUCGCCGUCGCCGCCGUCUACAUGCAGAGGGGCCUGUAGAAGCGGGUGUAGUCGCCGUCGUCGUCGUCGUCGCGCGGCUGGCUUGGGCCGGCGCGUUCCCUGCUGCAGCCCUGACCCGGGUCGCCGAGGCGCGGUGGUGCGCUAGAUGGCCCGGCCUCGCCCUCCUCGUCACUGUCGAGGACAAUGACGCCGCCUUCCUCGCGACCGCGGCGACGGGCCUGGAGCUCCUGGUACGCCCAGCGCUGGCAGUGUACCUGCUCCCGGACGUAGUCCUCCUUCGCCCACUUGAGGGCGGACUCGUCAUCAGGGCCGCCAUCUCGGCAUGCUCCGGCUUCACCAGGAGCAGCCCAGGCUCCGGCUUCGGCCGGACCAGGCGGUAGGAUCCGCGCGGGGGGGAUCGGGCGGCCUCGUUAAUGACGAGGCGACGGAGCGGGUACGCCGCCGGAGAGGCGUCUCCUCCGGCUCGGGUUUGACGGGGCGGAGCGCGGCCGGCGAGCUGGAGCCCGACGACGAGGACGUGUUGGGGAACGUAGUAAUUUCAAAAAUGCACACACAGGAUCAUGGUGAUGCAUAGCAACGAGAGGGGAAAGUGUGUCCAUGUACCCUCGUAGACCGAAAGCGGAAGCGUUAUGACAACGCGGUUGAUGUAGUCGUACGUCUUCACGAUCCGAUCGAUCCAAGUACCGAACACAGGGCACUUCCGAGUUCUGCACACGCUCAGCUCGAUGACGUCCCACGAACUCCGAUCCAGCAGAGCUUUGCGGGAGAGUUCCGUCAGCACGAUGGCGUGAUGACGGUGAUGAUGUUGCUACCGACGCAGGGUUUCAGCUAAGCACCGCUACGAUAUGACCGAGGUGGAAUAUGGUGGAGGGGGGCACCGCACACGGCUAAGAGAUCAAGAGAUCAAUUGUUGUGUCUAGAGGUGCCCCACUGCCCCCGUACAUAAAGGAGUGGAGGAGGGGGAGGGCCGGCCCUCCUAUGGCGCGCCCUGGAGGAGUCCUACUCCCACCGGGAGUAGGAUUCCCCCCCUUCCAAGUAGUAGGAGUAGGAGUCAAGGAAAGGGAAAAGAGAAGAGAAGGAAGGAGGGGGCGCAGCCCCUCCCCAUAGUCCAAUUCGGACUAGGCCUUGGGGGGUGCGCAGCCUCCCCUCUCUCUUUCCCCUAAAGCCCAAUAAGGCCCAUAUACUCCCCGGCGGAUUCCCGUAACUCUCCGGUACUCCGAAAAAUACCCGAAUCACUCGGAACCUUUCCGAUGUCCGAAUAUAGUCGUCCAAUAUAUCGAUCUUUACGUCUCGAUCAUUUCGAGACUCCUCGUCAUGUCCCCGAUCUCAUCCGGGACUCCGAACUAACUUCGAUACAUCAAAACACAUAACCCAUAAUAUAAAUCGUCACCGAACGUUAAGCGUGCGGACCCUAAGGGUUCGAGAACUAUGUAGACAUGACCGAGACACAUCUCCGGUCAAUAACCAAUAGCGGAACCUGGAUGCUCAUAUAGGCUCCCACAUAUUCUACGAAGAUCUUUCUCGGUCAAACCGCAGAACAACAUACGUUGUUCCAUUUGUCACCGGUAUGUUACUUGCCCGAGAUUCGAUCGUCGAUAUCUCAAUACCUAGUUCAAUCUCGUUACCGACAAGUCUCUUUACUCUUUCCGUAACACAUCAUCCCGCAACUAACUCAUUAGUUACAAUGCUUGCAAGGCUUAUAGUGGUGUGCAUUACCGAGUGGGCCCAGAGAUACCUCUCCGACAAUCGGAGUGACAAAUCCUAAUCUCGAAAUACGCCAACCCAACAAGUACCUUCGGAGACACCGGUAGAGCACCUUUAUAAUCACCCAGUUAUGUUGUGACAUUUGGUAGCACACAAAGUGUUCCUCCGGUAAACGGGAGUUGCAUAAUCUCAUAGUCAUAGGAACAUGUAUAAGUCAUGAAGAAAGCAAUAGCAGAAUACUAAACGAUCAAGUGCUAAGCUAACGGAAUGGGUCAAAUCAAUCACACCAUUCUCCUAAUGAUGUGGUCCCGUUAAUCAAAUGACAAAUCAUGUCUAUGGCUAGGAAACAUAACCAUCUUUGAUCAACGAGCUAGUCAAGUAGAGGCAUACUAGUGACACUCUGUUUGUCUAUGUAUUCACACAUGUAUUAUGUUUCCGGUUAAUACAAUUCUAGCAUGAAUAAUAAACAUUUAUCAUGAUAUAAGGAAAUAAUUAAUAACUUUAUUAUUGCCUCUAGGCCAUAUUUCCUUCAGUCUCCCACUUGCACUAGAGUCAAUAAUCUAUUUCACAUCAUCAUGUGAUUUAACACCAAUAUUCACAUCUGUAUGUCAUUAACACCCAUAGUUCACAUCGUCAUGUGACCAACACCCAAAGGGUUUACUAGAGUCAAUAAUCUAGUUCACAUCGCUAUGUGAUUAACACCCAAAGAGUACUAAGGUAUGAUCAUGUUUUUGCUCGUGAGAGAAGUUUAGUCAACGGGUCUGUCACAUUCAGAGCCGUAUGUAUUUUGCAAAUAUUCUAUGUCUACAAUGCUCUGCACGGAGCUACUCUAGCUAAUUGCUCCCACUUUUAAUAUGUAUCCAGAUUGAGACUUAGAGUCGUCUGGAUUUAGUGUAAAAGCUUGUAUCAAUGUAACUCUUUACGACGAACUCUUUUAUCACCUCCAUAAUCGAGAAACAUCUCCUUAGUCCUCACUAAGGAUAUUCUUGACAGUUGUCCAGUGAUCUACUCUUAGUUCAAAAUUGUACUCCCUUGCCAAACUCAGAGCAAGGUAUACAAUAGGUCUGGUACACAGCAUAGCAUACUUUUACAGAACCUAUGACUGAGGCAUAGGGAAUGACUUUUCAUUCUCUUUCUAUUUUCUGCUAUGGUCGGGUUUUGAGUCUUACUCAACUUCACACCUUGCAACACAGGAAAGAACUCCUUCUUUGACUGUUCCAUUUUGAAUUACUUCAAAAUCUUAUCAAGGUAUGUACUCAUUGAAAAAUCUUAUCAAGCGUCUUGAUCUAUCUCUAUAGUUUUUGAUGCUCAAUGUGUAAGCAGCUUCACCGAGGUCUUUCUUUGAAAAACUCCUUUCAAAUACUGCUUUAUGCUUUCCAGAAAAUUCUACAUUAUUUCUGAUGAACGAUAUGUCAUUCACAUAUUCUUAUCAGAAAGGCUGUAGUGCUCCCACUCACUUUCCUGUAAAUACAGGCUUCACCGCAAGUCUGUAUAAAACUAUAUGCUUUGAUCAACUCAUCAAAGCGUAUAUUUCAACUCCGAGAUGCUUGCACCAGUCCAUAGAUGGAUCGCUGGAGCUUGCACAUUUUGUUAGCACCUUUAGGAUCGACAAAAUCUUCUGGUUGCAUCAUAUACAACUCUUCUUUAAGAAAUCCAUUAAGGAAUGUAGUUUUGACAUCCAUUUGCCAGAUUUCAUAAAAUGUGGCAAUUUCCUAACAUGAUUCGGACAGACUUAAGCAUCGCUGCGAGUGAGAAAAUCUCAUCGUAGUCAACACCUUGAACUUUGUCAAAAACCUUUUUCGACAAGUCGAGCUCCGUAGAUAGUAACACUACUAUCAGCGUCUGUCUUCCUCUUGAAGAUCCAUUUAUUUUCUAUGGCUUGCCGAUCAUCGGGCAAGUCAACCAAAGUCCACACUUUGUUCUCAUACAUGGAUCCAAUCUCAGAUUUCAUGGCCUCAAGCCAUUUCGCGGAAUCUGGGCUCAUCAUCGCUUCCUCAUAGUUCGUAGGUUCAUCAUGGUCUAGUAACAUGACUUCUAGAAUAGGAUUACCAUACCACACUGGUGCGGACCGUAUUCUCGAAGACCUAUGAGUUUCUGUAAUAACUUGAUCUUAAGCUUCAUGAUCAUCAUCAUUAGCUUCCUCACUAAUUGGUGUAGGUGUCACUGAAACCGGUUUCUGUGAUAAACUACUUUCCAAUAAGGGAGCAGGUACAGUUACCUCAUCAAGUUCUACUUUCCUCCCACUCACUUCUUUCGAGAGAAACUCCUUCUCUAGAAAGGAUCCAUCUUAGCAAUGAAUAUUUUGCCUUCGGAUCUGUGAUAGAAGGUGUACCCAACAGUUUCCUUUGGGUAUUCUAUGAAGACGCACUUCUCCGAUUUGGGUUCGAGCUUAUCAGGUUGAAACUUUUUCACAUAAGCAUCGCAGCCCCAAACUUUAAGAAACGACAACUUUGGUUUCUUGCCAAACCACAGUUCAUAAGGCGUCGUCUCAACGGAUUUUGAUGGUGCCCUAUUUAAAGUGAAUGUAGCUGUCUCUAAUGUAUAACCCCAAAACGAUAGUGAUAAAUCGGUAAGAUACAUCAUAGAUCGCACCAUAUCCAAUAAAGUGCGGUUACGGCAUUUCGGACACACCAUUACGCUGUGGUGUUCCAUGUGGCGUGAGCUGUGAAACUAUUUCACAUUGUUUUUAAAUGAAGGCCAAACUCAUAACUCAAAUAUUCUCCUCUACGAUCAAAUUGUAGAAACUUUAUUUUCUUGUUACGAUGAUUCUCCACUUCACUCUGAAAUUCUUUGAACUUUUCAAAUGUUUCAGACUUCUGCUUCAUUAAGUAGAUAUACUCAUAUCUGCUCAAAUCAUCCGUGAAGGUCAGAAAAUAACGAUACCCGCCACGAGCAUCAACACUCAUUGGACCGCAUACAUCGGUAUGUAUUAUUUCCAACAAGUCUGUAGCUCGUUCCAUUGUUCCGGAGAACGGAGUUUUAGUCAUCUUGCCCAAAAGGCACGGUUCGCAAGCAUCAAAUGAUUCAUAACCAAGUGAUUCCAAAAGUCCAUCUUAAUGGAGUUUCUUCAUGCGCUUUACACCGAUAUGACCCAAAUGGCAGUGCCACAAAUAAGUUGCACUAUCAUUACCAACUUUGCAUCUUUUGGCAUCAAUAUUAUGAAUAUGUGUAUCACUACGAUCGAGAUCCAACAAACCAUUUUCAUUGGGUGUAUGACCGUAGAAGGUUUUAUUCAUGUAAACAGAACAACAAUUAUUCUCUAACUUAAAUGAAUAACCGUAUUGCAAUAAACAUGAUCAAAUCAUAUUCAUGCUCAAUGCAAACACCAAAUAACAUUUAUUUAGGUUCAACACUAAUCCCGAAAGUAUAGGGAGUGUGUGAUGAUGAUCAUAUCAAUCUUGGAACUACUUCCAACACACAUCAUCACCUCGCCCUUAACUAGUUUCUGUUCAUUCUGCAACUCCCGUUUCGAGUUACUACUCUUAGCAACUGAACCAGUAUCAAAUACCGAGGGGUUGCUAUAAACACUAGUAAAAUACACAUCAAUAACAUGUAUAUCAAAUAUACUUUUGUUCACUUUGCCAUCCUUCUUAUCCGCCAAAUACUUGGGGCAGUUCCGCUUCCAGUGACCAGUCCCUUUGCAGUAGAAGCACUCAGUUUCAGGCUUAGGUCCAGACUUGGGCUUCUUCACUUGAGCAGCAACUUGCUUGCCGUUCUCCUUGAAGUUCCCCUUCUUCCCUUUGCCCUUUUCUUGAAACUAGUGGUCUUUGUCAACCAUCAACACUUGAUGAUCUUUCUUGAUUUCUACCUUCGCCGAUUUCAUUAUCACGAAGAGCUUGGGAAUUGUUUCCGUUAUCCCUUGCAUAUUAUAGUUCAUCACGAAGUUUUAGUAACUUGGUGAUGGUGACUAGAGAACUCUGUCAAUCACUAUCUUAUCUGGAAGAUUAACUCCCACUUGAUUCAAGUGAUUGUAGUACCCACACAUUCUGAGCACAUGCUCACUAGUUGAGCAAUUCUCCUCCAUCUUUUAGGCAAAGUACUUGUCAGAGGUCUCAUACCUCUUGACACGGGCAUGAGUCUGAAAUACUAAUUUCAUCUCUGGGAACAUCUCAUAUGCUCCGUGACAUUUCAAAACAUUUUUGAAGUCCCUGUUCUAAGCCGUAAAGCAUGGUGCACUAAACUAUCAAGUAGUCAUCAUACCGAGCUUUGCCAAACAUUCAUAACGUUUGCAUAUGCUCCUGCAAUAGGUCUGUCACCUAGCGAUGCAUUAAGGACAUAAUUCUUCUGUGCAGCAAUGAGGAUAAUCCUCAGAUCACGGAUCCAAUCCGCAUCAUUGCUACUAACAUCUUUCAACAUAGUUUUUCUCUAGGAACAUAUCAAAAUAAACAUAGGGAAGCAACAACGCGAGCUAUUGAUCUACAACAUUAUUUGCAAAAUACUAUCAUGACUAAGUUCAUGAUAAAUUAAAGUUCAAUUAAUCAUAUUACUUAAGAACUCCCACUUAGAUAGACAUCCCUCUAAUCAUCUAAGUGAUCACGUGAUCCAUAUCAACUAAACCAUGUCCGAUCAUCACGUGAGAUGGAGUAGUUUUCAAUGGUGAACAUCAAUAUGUUUAUCAUAUCUACUAUAUGAUUCACGCACGACCUUUCGGUCUCAGUGUUCCGAGGCCAUAUCUGCAUAUGCUAGGCUCGUCAAGUUUAACCUGAGUAUUCCGCGUGUGCAACUGUUUUGCACCCGUUGUAUUUGAACGUAGAGCCUAUCACACCCGAUCAUCACGUGGUGUCUCGGCACGAAGAACUUUCGCAACGGUGCAUACUCGGGGAGAACACUUAUACCUUGAAAUUUAGUGAGAGAUCAUCUUAUAAUGCUGCCGUCGAUCUAAGCAAAAUAAGAUGCAUAAAAGAUAAACAUCACAUGCAAUCAAUAUAAGUGAUAUGAUAUGGCCAUCAUCAUCUUGUGCUUGUGAUCUCCAUCUCCGAAGCACCAUCAUGAUCACCAUCGUCACCGGCGCGACACCUUGAUCUCCACCGUAGCAUCGUUGUCGUCUCGCCAACUAUUGCUUCUACGACUAUCGCUACCGCUUAGUGAUAAAGUAAAGCAAUUUACAGGGCUAUUGCAUUGCAUACAAUAAAGCGACAACCAUAUGGCUCCAGCCAGUUGCCGAUAACUCGGUUACAAAACAUGAUCAUCUCAUACAAUAAAAUAUAGCAUCAUGUCUUGACAAUAUCACAUCACAACAUGCCCUGCAAAAACAAGUUAGACGUCCUCUACUUUGUUGUUGCAAGUUUUACGUGGCUGCUACGGGCUGAGCAAGAACGGUUCUUACCUACGCAUCAAAACCACAAUGAUAGUUCGUCAAGUAAGUGAUGUUUUAACCUUCUCAAGGACCGGGCGUAGCCACACUCGGUUCAACUAAAGUUGGAGAAACUGACACCCGCCAACCACCUGUGUGCAAAGCACGUCGGUAGAACCAGUCUCGCGUAAGCGUACGCGUAAUGUCGGUCCAGGCCGCUUCAUCCAACAAUACCGCCGAACCAAAGUGUGACAUGCUGGUAAGCAGUAUGACUUGUAUCGCCCACAACUCACUUGUGUUCUACUCGUGCAUAUAACAUCUACGCAUAAAACCAGGCUCGGAUGCCACUGUUGGGGAACGUAGUAAUUUCAAAAAAAUUCCUGCGCACACACAGGAUCAUGGUGAUGCAUAGCAACGAGAGGGGAGAGUGUGUCCACAUACCCUCGUAGACCGAAAGCGGAAGCGUUAUGACAACGCAGUUGAUGUAGUCGUACGUCUUCACGAUCCGACCGAUCCAAGUACCGAACACAGGGCACUUCCGAGUUCUGCACACGCUCAGCUCGAUGACGUCCCACGAACUCCGAUCCAGCAGAGCUUUGCGGGAGAGUUCCGUCAGCACGACGGCGUGAUGAUGGUGAUGAUGUGGCUAUCGACGCAGGGCUUCGGCUAAGCACCGCUACGAUAUGACCGAGGUGGAAUAUGGUGGAGGGGGGCACCGCACACGGCUAAGAGAUCAAGAGAUCAAUUGUUGUGUCUAGAGGUGCCCCCCUGCCCCCGUAUAUAAAGGAGUGGAGGAGGGGGGAGGGCCGGCCCUCCUAUGGCGUGCCCUGGAGGAGUCCUACUCCCACCGGGAGUAGGAUUCCCCCCCUUCCAAGUAGUAGGAGUAAGAGUCAAGGAAAGGGAAAAGAGAAGAUAAGGAAGGAGGGGGCGCAGCCCCUCCCCCUAGUCCAAUUCAGACUAGGCCUUGGGGGGGGCGCGCAGCCUCCCCUCUCUCUUUCCCCUAAAGCCCAAUAAGGCCAAUAUACUCCCCGGCGAAUUCCCGUAACUCUCCGGUACUCCGAAAAAUACCCGAAUCACUCGGAACCUUUCCGAUGUCCGAAUAUAGUCGUCCAAUAUAUCGAUCUUUACGUCUCGAUCAUUUCGAGACUCCUCGUCAUGUCCCCGAUCUUAUCCGGGACUCCGAACUACCUUCGGUACAUCAAAACACAUAACUCAUAAUAUAAAUCGUCACCGAACGUUAAGCGUGCGGACCCUACGGGUUCGAGAACUAUGUAGACAUGACCGAGACACAUCUCCGGUCAAUAACCAAUAGCGGAACCUGGAUGCUCAUAUUGGCUCCCACAUAUUCUACGAAGAUCUUUAUCGGUCAAACCGCAUAACAACAUACGUUGUUCCCUUUGUCAUCGGUAUGUUACUUGCCCGAGAUUCGAUCGGCGGUAUCUCAAUACUUAGUUCAAUCUCGUUACCGGCAAGUCUCUUUACUCGUUCCGUAACACAUCAUCCCGCAACUAACUCAUUAGUUACAAUGCUUGCAAGGCUUAUAGUGAUGUGCAUUACCGAGUGGGCCCAGAGAUACCUCUCCGACAAUCGGAGUGAUAAAUCCUAAUCUCGAAAUACGCCAACCCAACAAGUACCUUCGGAGACACCUGUAGAGCACCUUUAUAAUCACCCAGUUAUGUUGUGACGUUUGGUAGCACACAAAGUGUUCCUCCGAUAAACGGGAGUUGCAUAAUCUCAUAGUUAUAGGAACAUGUAUAAGUCAUGAAGAAAGCAAUAGCAAAAUGCUAAACGAUCAAGUGCUAAGCUAACGGAAUGGGUCAAGUCAACCACAUCAUUCUCCUAAUGAUGUGAUCCCGUUAAUCAAAUGACAACUCAUGUCUAUGGCUAGGAAACAUAACCAUCUUUGAUACGAGCUAGUCAAGUAGAGGCAUACUAGUGACACUCUGUUUGUCUAUGUAUUCACACAUGUAUUAUGUUUCCGGUUAAUACAAUUCUAGCAUGAAUAAUAAACAUUUAUCAUGAUAUAAGGAAAUAAAUAAUAACUUUAUUAUUGCCUCGAGGGCAUAUUUCCUUCAGGACGACCCUGGCUGCAUCCGCCGCGGCGUCCAGGAGCUACCACGGUGACGAGAGAAGGACGGCCGCUGCGGGUACUCGAGGCGCGGCACGUUGCCGGUCUCGAUGUGGUCGAGGACGGCCUCGAGGGUGCGGCCCAGAACGCCCCACCACUUGCGCCGCCCGUUGGCGUUGUGGCGGCCCUGCGGGAUGACGCCGUUGGUGGAGGCGAUCUGCUCCUCGCGGCGGCGCUCGAAGUACAUCGUCCACAGGGUGUGACUGUCGGCGGCGUAGCGCGGCUCAUUCCGCCUUUCCUCCGUCAGGGAGGAGCGAAUGCGGGCGAUGUCGCCGCGCCGCGCCGCCCCUUCGGGCACCGGUGGCUGUCGUGGUUCUAAGGCUGAUAGUAGAAUGGGGGUAAGUAUGAGGAAGCAAGAUCCUAGCUAUGGCGAAGUUGUACACACGAGUUUUACGAGUUCAGGCCCUUCGCGGAGGAAGUAAUAGCCCUACGUCUCGGUGCCCGGAGGCGGUCGACUGGAUUAUGAGUGUGUGUUACAGGGGGUCCGAACCCUUGUCCCAGAGGAGGGGGGUGGCUUAUAUAGAGUGCGCCAGGACCCCAGCUCCCCUCCGUUACAGGGAUUCAAUGUACAUAAAGAUGGGGCGUUACUGGUAACGCCAGCCAUAAGUGCUAUAAAUGACAUUAAAGGCUGCAGAGUGAACGCCCGACCGUUGCUGUGCAGAGUGACUUUAGAUCUUCUGUCUGUCGAGUGGUUUCUGUUACGGUCGAGUGACAUUGAAUCUUCCGAGUGGAAUGCUUCUGGUCGAGUGGAUGAUGCUAUCCUUUGAAUGUCUCUGACUUUAGGGUGAUGUCCUAGGGGAGAGUGUCUGGGUCAGGCCUAUGACCCUACCCUAGGUACAUAGCUUCAUCAUUAGCCCCCGAAUGGUUCAGGGUUCGAGUGGAAAAAGGAGUUGAAGUUGGUUCCGACUCAGUUUUAUGCUGCAGAAGCGUUCUCUUUGGACUGAUGAAAAAUGUGACAACUUUGACUUCACUUUUAGUCGCCUCGAUCCAUUCUUAGUUUUGUCGAGUGAACUUUUAUUGCAGGUCUUCGAGUGUUGAUAUGGAAAAAAUCUCCAGUCUGACAGGUUGCUCUGCUGCUCGCGGAUAAUGCGGGAUUCGGAGGAAGCGCGCAGGGCGGAGGAGGCCGCAGCAAUCGGGGUGGAUUAGGCAGGGCCGCUUCGAUUUUCGCACCACCUUUUUGGCCACGUAUCGCGUGCGCGACUGAUGCGGGAUUUGAUAGGAUCGCCUGGGCCCAUGGGUCAGUCACUCGGGGACGACCUCAUAUAAGGCGCUGGACCGGGGUUUCUUGCACAGCGCAUUCCCAUUCUCCCUCUUUCUCUUCCGAUCUCGCCACCACGACCACCUCUGCUCUCGACGCCACCGCCCUGCUCGAGCUCCGCCCGCUGCAAUGGGGAAGGAGAAGACGGCGGCCUUGGAGCACGCAAAGAAGGUGAAGGGGAAGAAGACCAGCCGGGGCAGAUCUUCGUCCAGGUCCAGCCUACCGCGCGGCUGGAUCCAGGGUGACUGGAUUCAGUCGACGAUCCGACAGGAUGACAUCGACGAUCCGGCUGAGGGGGACUGAUCCCCCAUGAAUCAACGCGGCUCCCGGGGGUCGAGACCGAGCCGCGGCCGCAGGAGGGUGAGCGCGUUCUCCUCGCAACUCGCGUAGACCGCGGGUUUUCUUUGCCUCCCCACCCUUUUUUCUGAGGUUUCUUGAACUUCUUUGGAGCACAACUUCAUCACUUUUCCCCCAACACCAUCGUGUACCUUGCUGCCUUCGUGUCCAUGUGCGAGAAUUUUCUGGGUUGUCGGCCACACUGGGGUCUCUUCAAGCACAUUUUCACGUGUCGUUCUCAAUCGGUCAAGAAGGCCAAUCCGAGUGACGAGAGGACGCAUGUGAUCCAGAUGUGUGGGGGCCUUGGGAUUCAGACAAGAGGUAAAAGCACUUUUCAAGCCAUCAUCCUUCCCGAGUCAGUCAGAGGAUGGCAGUCGACCUGGUUCUACUGCAAAGACCAGCCGACUCCAGGUCAGUCGACUGGAAUUCCUCCCUUUUCCAUGGCUCGAGUCGAGAAGCCCUCUGCUCUAAAAGUGACCCUGGAGGAGAGAGCGGAGGUGAAGGUGCUGGUCGAGCGAGUAGUCCAGCUCGUCCGCGACGGCGUGACUGGCAUGGAUCUGUUGGAGGUCUUCCUCAGGCGACGCAUCCAGCCGCUUCAAGCUCGUGACCACCCGAUGUGGAUGUAUUCGGGUAUUGAUGACACCACUCGGAUCCACCCAGAGGAAGUCGACGAGGAAACGGUGGAGCAGUGGCUAAGGGGUAUCACUGGUAACAAGGACAACCCCAGGGGGUCCAGGAGGAUCCCUCCACUCAACAACUCGUAUGAACCAGACCAGGUCCGACUCUAAAUUGCCGAGUGUUUCCUUGAUUUAUCACUUAACUGCUUGCCGUCAACCAACUGAUUUUUGCUUCACUUGCUGUCUUUCAGGCCCUUACUGAGAUGUACUCGAUGCCCAACGGGGAGCAGGAACAAGAUCCAGAGGGGGAGGCAAGCGGAGGCGAGAGCGGCGAGUGGCACUCUGAUGGAGAAGAGGACGAGGAGAGCGACGACCUGAGUGAUGAAGAAGAGGUCGACUCGCCUCCUCAUAGGGAAAGACGUUCCAAGCACACUCACGAUCCGGCAAGUAUCCGUGGCAAGGCGACUGCACAUUCCGGGCAAUCGGCAAAGCGUCCUCGGACUUCUUCUCCAGCGCCGAAUGAGAAGGCGCCGAAGCAACCGAAAGCUGCGCCGUCAAAACCGCAAAAGGCCUUGCCCAAGAUCAGAGUGACCAUUCCCAUUGCUUCCGGGUAAUAGUUGGACUUGUUUUCUUGGUUUGAUUUGAAUCCGAAUUUUGGUCGACUCACUGCGACUGAUACGACCGACUGAAUCUUGAAAUUUGCAGUGCUGCUACCUCCGAGACUUCUGCUCACAAGAAUGAAGAAGAGGAAAUGGAAGAUGAAGUCACCUCCAACCCAGGUACGAAUCUCGUAAUCUUUUCUUCGUUUACUUGACUAUUUGGUUGGUCGAUUGAAUUUUUGACGAUUGACCUCUUUUGCAGCUCCUUCCAAUGUCAUUGAUCUUUCGGACGACGACGAGGAUGUGCCGCUGAGGCCUCGGGGAAGGAGAAACAGGAACGCGUCAGCUGGUAAUACGCCUCAGUCGACGCCGGGAAUGGAAACGGCAACCCCGGAGGGCGGCGAUGCCAAUCGGACUUCUGUGACUUUCGCCGUGCCAUUGACGAGUGUUCGGCCCUCAGCGUCGACUGCGCAGACUCCAGCUGACCCUUCUUCUCUCUUUACUGCACAUUGUGUCCCAGAGGAUCAAGUGGGCGCUGCCGAGGAGGCCAUACGCCAGGAGGGCAUCAUGAUGGAGCAGAUGAAGGUGGUCCGGGACGCCAGCCAAGCUGCUUACGACGCCAGCUCGGCUCUCCAGAGCAACGUCUAGGUUAGCUGAUCACCGACUGACUCUGUAGCUUGUCGCUUGUUCUGUUAGGAUAUGGUACCUGAAAACUUUUUCUUGAAGAACCUUUUCAUCCGUCUGUAUUUCGCAUUUGCACACCCACUGGGUGUUUUGACCUGCCACUGAGCAAAUUUGUAUCUUUGAGUCGACUAGGUUGUGUCGAUUGAGUCUUUGAACGAGUGGGGGCACGCUGAGUGCACCCAGUGGGUGUAGUCCCCGAGACCAUAGUUGACUGUGGGCAGUCAACUGUGGUCUGAGAAUUAGAAUUUCCUCACUCGGCUUGGACGGGCCAUGUCGAGUGGAACCUGAACCAGUGGGGGCACGCUAAGUGCACCCACUAGGUGUAGUCCCCGAGACCGUGGUCGACUGCGGGCAGUCGGCUAUGGUCUGAGAACAACUUUCUUCUUUCUUUCUUUCUUGGAUGUCCGUAGAUGAACGUUUUGGAACUUUAUGUGCAUCUAUCAUGAGUUUGCACCUUGCAUCUGUUCACCCAUCGGGUUGUAGCUCUUGCACUUCUCACUCGACCUGGACGGACUAAGUCGAGUGGAACCUAACCAGUGGGGGCACGCUGAGUGCACCCACUGGGUGUAGUCCCCGAGACCAUGGUCGGAUGCGGGCAGUCGACUAUGGUCUGAGAACAACUCUUUUUUUUACACACUCGGCCUGGACAGGCCAUGUCGAGUGGAAACUGGACCAGUGGGGGCACGCUGAGUGCACCCACUGGGUGUAGUCCCCGAGACUGCCAUUGAAUGUUUGAUUCGAUGGUAGUCUUAGAGUAACUUUCACUGUGAUGUUCUUUUCAUCUGUCGACUGACUAUCCCUUGAUCACAGAAAUCUUGCAAACUUGGAGCUCGUUUUGCUGAUCUGGAGCAGAAGCAGAUUCAGCUCAACCUCGAUCUGGAGCUGGCCAAGACCAAUUUGCAGAAGGCCAAGGAUGAAGCCGUUGGUACGAGAAGCAUGUCGACUGAUCUGUUCCUGAACAGAGUGUUAUUUGUUUUUUAUCUGAACCGAGCACUAUUUCUUUCAGAAACGAUGAACCAGUCUCUGGCACAGAAGGAUCUGGAGCUUGCAGCCGCGCAGAAAACAGCCGAAGAGAAAACUGCACUCGCCGACCAGAAGCUGGCCUCAGUCGGCAAACUGGAGGAAGAGAACGCCAAGCUGAAGACUGCCCUGGAUGAAGCCAACAAGGAGGCGACUCGUCUGAAGAGGGACAAGAGGGCUCUGACCGACAAGAUUGAAGAUAUUGCCCGCAGGAGGGAUGACUUGGAAAACUAUCUGGGAGGGCUUGCCAAGAAGUUGUUCAUCAUGCUUGAAGGUGCCUUACUUUGCCCGACUGACUUGUUGCUGUCGACUCAACAUAUAAUCAUCGACUCAUUGUUGCAUUGUGUAUGCAGAGUUUUGCCAAAACUUCGAGGAAGAAACUGGGCGAGUUGAAACAAACUUGGACCCCGUUCACUCUCCUGUGAAGGACAAAGCUGCCAUGAACGUACUCCGACUGGAAUGUCGUGUAGCUGGCGUUGUUGACUAUCUCGCUCGUCUGAAAGUCACGGUGCCGCGUAUCGACACAGCGCUCUGGCCAGGGUGACACUUUAGAAUGACCUCAAGUCUCUCAUGACUUGACUCAAUGAGAUCCCAGGUCGAGUGCAGGAAUGGAAGAAGUCUUCUGCCCGAUGUGGUGCUGACGUGGCUCUGUCACUUGUUUGUGUCCACUGCAAGGAAGCUCGAGAAGAGAGGCUGGCGGUGAUCAAGGUUGCCAAUACCAAAAAGCACGACUUCCAAUCCUUCAUGGAAACUUUCAUUGCUGCUGCCACUCGGAUUGCUGAUGGAAUUGACCUAGACGAGUUCGUCGAGCCUGCUAGCCCUCCCCCUGCGGAGUGAACAAACUUUACGUCCCACCUUAAAUUUGCCUCGGAAUGCCGAGUGAUUGUGUAAUCGUUAAACUCCUUCGGGCUUGAUGCUCGAGUACUUUAAUCCGUGGACCGGAACCUUAGGAUUUAUCCGAACUUGGUUUAUCUCUGAAUAUGCUCGUGUUUGUCUUCAAGUGGUACUUAUUUCUUCACUCGGAAUAAUCUUUGAGUGGUGCAGCUUCAAGGUGAAAAGUGACAGUCAACCUGCACUUCGUCAUCUUUGAGAAGGUAGCAAUCGACCUGCACCUCGUCGUCCUUACGGAUCGGGAUGGAGCGCACAUUAUAUUUGUGGCGCAGCUUCGAGGAGAAGAUAGCAAUCGACUUGCACCUCGUCGUCCUUAUGGAUUGGGACGGAGCGCACAUUAUACUUGUGGCGCAGCUUCGAGGAGAAGAUAGCAAUCGACCUGCACCUCGUCGUCCUUACGGAUCGGGACGGAGCGUGUGGCCAAGUCUCCGAGCAAGAAGGCCGAUUCUCACUCGGGACGUGUUUUAUACUUAGGCGAGUACUGGACUGCAGCUAAGCCCCCGAGUGAGAGGCUGGCUCACCACUCGGUAGCAUUUUUUCAAACUUAGGCAAAACAGAUUCGUGGCUAAGCCUCCUAGUGAGAGGGUUGCUCGCCACUCGGUAGGAUUUUUGAAACUUAGGCGACUACUGGACUGCAGCUAAGCCCCCGAGUGAGAGGGUUGCUCACCACUCGGUAGGAUUUUUGAAACUUAGGCGAGUACUGGACUGCAGCUAAGCCCCCGAGUGAGAGGGUUGCUCACCACUCGGUAGGAUUUUUGAAACAUAGGCGNNNNNNNNNNNNNNNNNNNNNNNNNNNNNNNNNNNNNNNNNNNNNNNNNNNNNNNNNNNNNNNNNNNNNNNNNNNNNNNNNNNNNNNNNNNNNNNNNNNNNNNNNNNNNNNNNNNNNNNNNNNNNNNNNNNNNNNNNNNNNNNNNNNNNNNNNNNNNNNNNNNNNNNNNNNNNNNNNNNNNNNNNNNNNNNNNNNNNNNNNNNNNNNNNNNNNNNNNNNNNNNNNNNNNNNNNNNNNNNNNNNNNNNNNNNNNNNNNNNNNNNNNNNNNNNNNNNNNNNNNNNNNNNNNNNNNNNNNNNNNNNNNNNNNNNNNNNNNNNNNNNNNNNNNNNNNNNNNNNNNNNNNNNNNNNNNNNNNNNNNNNNNNNNNNNNNNNNNNNNNNNNNNNNNNNNNNNNNNNNNNNNNNNNNNNNNNNNNNNNNNNNNNNNNNNNNNNNNNNNNNNNNNNNNNNNNNNNNNNNNNNNNNNNNNNNNNNNNNNNNNNNNNNNNNNNNNNNNNNNNNNNNNNNNNNNNNNNNNNNNNNNNNNNNNNNNNNNNNNNNNNNNNNNNNNNNNNNNNNNNNNNNNNNNNNNNNNNNNNNNNNNNNNNNNNNNNNNNNNNNNNNNNNNNNNNNNNNNNNNNNNNNAGUGAGAGGGUUGCUCACCACUCGGUAGGAUUUUUCGAACUUAGGCGAGUACUGGACUGCAGCUAAGCCCCCGAGUGAGAGGGUUGCUCACCACUCGGUAGGAUUUUUUCAAACUUAGGCUAAACGGAUUCGCGGCUAAGCCCCCGAGUGAGAGGCUGGCUCACCACUCGAUAGGAUUAUUUAGGCGAAACGGAUUUGCGGCUAAGCCCCCGAGUGAGAGGCUGGCUCACCACUCGGUAUUUUUUUUUAAACUUAGGCGAAACAGGUUCGCAGCUAAGUCACCCACUGGGGGAUUUUAGACACAAUAAUAUCCAACAACAAUCAUUUCUAUAUAACUGUAAACUCUGUCUUUGAUAAACAAACUACACAAGUUUUUCUUAUUCCAUCUCAACAGACUGAGUGAUUAAGUAUAAAAGGGGCGGAGCAGCUCCGCAUUCCAAGCGCGUGGCUCGUCUUUCUUGUGCUCGACAUUGUAAAGAUGGUAUGCUCCAUUGUGGAGCACUUUUGUGAUGAUGAAGGGGCCUUCCCAAGCAGGAGCGAGCUUGUGUGGUUUCUGCUGAUCCACUCGAAGAACCAAAUCCCCCUCGUGAAAGGCUCGACCUCUCACGUUUCUGGCGUGGAAUCGACGCAGGUCUUGCUGAUAAAUGGUCGACCGGAUUAGGGCCAUCUCUCUUUCUUCUUCCAGGAGAUCCACUGCAUCUUGCCAUGCCUGCUCUGCUUCAGCUUCUGAGAAAAGUUCGACUCGGGGUGCAUUGUGAAGCAAGUCACUCGGAAGUACAGCUUCAGCUCCAUAUACCAAGAAGAAUGGAGUUCGGCCAGUCAACCGAUUGGGAGUCGUCCUCAAACCCCAAAGUACUGACGGAAGUUCGUCGACCCGGGCGCCUGCUGCAUGCUUGAGAUCACGCAUAGUCGGGGUUUCAGUCCUUUGAGAAUCAAUCUGUUUGCUCUUUCGGCUUGUCCAUUCGACUGGGGAUGGGCGACUGAAGCAUAGCGACUCGAGUGCCUUGGGAAGCACAGAAAGCUCUGAACUCAUCAGAAUCGAAGUUUGAUCCAUUGUCAUUGAUGAUGCUGUGCAGCACACCAUAUCUGAAUGUCAACUCUCUGAUAAAGCUAACAGAAGUACUGGCUUCAAGAUUCUUGAUAGGUUUGGCUUCAAUCCAUUUGGUGAAUUUGUCGACUGCCACUAGCACAUGAGUGAAGCCACUCCUGCCAGUCCUCAGAGGUCCAACCAUGUCUAACCCCUAGACAGCAAAAGGCCAGACGAGUGGAAUGGUCUUCAGAGCAGAUGCAGGCUUGUGAGACAUGUUGGAGUAGAACUGGCAACCUUCACACUUGUCCACUAUUUCCUUUGCCAUUUCAUUUGCUCGUGGCCAAUAAAAUCCCGCUCGGUAUGCUUUAGCCACGAUGGUCCGAGAGGACGCAUGGUGACCACAGGUCCCCGAGUGAAUGUUGUUGCGGAUCACUCGACCUUCUUCUGUUGUUAUGCACUUCUGGCAGACUCCAGUCACGCUUUCUCUGAACAGCUGCCCUCUUAUCACACUAAAGGCUUUGGAUCGACGGACGAUCUGACGAGCCUCUUCUUCAUCCUCUGGGAGUUCCUUCCUAAGAAUGUACGCGAUGUAUGGCACAGUCCAGUCGGGAGUGAUGACCAAAACUUCCAUGACCAAGUCGACCACGGCUGGGACUUUGACUUCAGUCGGAUCGGUGGCACUCUUUGGUUGCGGGGGCUCCUCAGUGAAAGGAUCUUCCUGAACUGAAGGUGUAUGAAUAUGUUCCAGAAACACAUUGUUGGGAAUGGCUUCUCUCUUGGAACCUAUCUUUGCCAAAUCAUCAGCUGCUUGAUUUUUCAGUCGGGGUAUGUGAUGGAGCUCUAACCCCUCAAACUUCUUUUCCAGCUUUCUCACUGCAUUGCAGUAACCAGUCAUAGCUGGGCUUCUGACGUCCCACUCCUUCAUCACUUGAUUAACCACCAAAUCAGAGUCGCCGUAGACCAUGAGGCGACGGACGCCGAGUGAAAUGGCCAUACGCAACCCGUAUAGGAGGGCUUCAUAUUCAGCUUCAUUGUUGGAGGAAUCAAAGUGGAUCUGGAGAACAUAACUGAGAUUAUCUCCUCGGGGGGACACCAAUACCACCCCAGCACCGGACCCAUUCAGCAUCUUGGAGCCAUCGAAGAACAUGGUCCAAUGCUCUGAGUGAACUUUAGUCGGCAAUUGCUGCUCAAUCCACUCGGCAAGGAAAUCAGCGAUUGCUUGGGACUUGAUAGCCUUCUUUGCCUCAAACUUGAUAUCCAAUGGGAGGAGUUCAAUCGCCCACUUCGCCACUCGACCUGUUGCAUCUCUGUUGUUCAGGAUUUCAGAUAAUGGUGCAUCGCUGACGACUGUAAUGGAGUGAUCAGAGAAAUAAUGUGCAACCUUCUUCAUGGUCAAGUAGAUUCCAUAAACAAGCUUCUGAUAAUGCGGAUAUCUUUGCUUGGAUGGAGUCAAAACUUCAGAAAGAUAGUAUACUGGGCGUUGAACUUUAUAAGCUUUUCCUUCUUCCUCCCGCUCGACCGUGAGUAUUGUGCUGACAACUUGUCCAGUGGCUGCAAUAUAAAGCAGUAAAGGCUCUCUGCUGAUUGGGGCAGCAAGCACCGGCUGGGUGGAAAGCAGGGCUUUGAGCUCUGCAAACGCUGCGUCAGCUUCAUCAGUCCACUCGAACUUGUCAGAUUUCUUCAUCAGUCGGUAAAGAGGCAAGGCCUUCUCACCGAGACGAGAAAUGAAUCGACUCAAGGCAGCCAAACAUCCGGUGAGCUUCUGAACGUCAUGUACGCGCACAGGGUGUUUCAUUCGGAGGAUGGUACCAACUUUCUUCAGAUUUGCGUCGAUCCCCCGUUCGGAAAUGAGGAAACCGAGUAAUUUCCCACCUGGGACUCCGAAUGUGCACUUCGACGGAUUUAGCUUGAUAUCAUAUCUUCUCAGGUUGGCAAAGGUUUCAACGAGGUCAGCCAGCAGGUUGGAACCUUUGCGCAACUUGACCAUGAUGUCAUCCAUGUAUGCUUCCACAUUCCGGUUGAUUUGAGUGAGCAGGCACUUCUGAAUCAUUCUCAUAAAUGUGGCUCCGGCGUUCUUGAGGCCGAAUGGCAUGGUGACAUAAUAGAAGCACCCAAAUGGAGUGAUGAAAGCUGUUUUUAUCUCAUCGGGCCCAUACAGUCAGAUCUGAUGGUAACCGGAAUAGGCGUCUAGAAAAGGCAGUCGCUCACACCCCGCAGUUGAGUCGACGAUUUGGUCGAUGUGGGGGAGAGGAAAAUGAUCUUUCAGGAAGGCCCGAUUGAUAUGUUUGAAGUCAAUGCACAUGCGAAGCGAGUCGUCCUUCUUGGGGACCAUGACCACAUUGGCAAGCCACUCGGAGUGGUAAAUCUCUCGGAUGAACUCAGCUGCCAGGAGCCGAGCCACUUCUUCACCAAUUGCUUUUCUCUUCUGCACGGCGGACCAUCGAAGAUGUUCUUUGACUGGCUUUGCUUUCGGGUCGACUCGCAAACGGUGCUCAGCCAGUCCCCUGGGUACACCUGGCAUGUCAGAAGGUUUCCAUGCAAAGAUGUCCCAGUUCUCACGGAGGAACUGGAUGAGCGCUUCUUCCUAUUUGCUGUCGAGCGUCGUUGAGAUUUGAGUCGGAGCAGCAUUGGGAUCGGUCGGGUGAAUAUGAAUCGGCUUCGUUUCACCGGACGACUGAAAUGCAGAGUCUGUAGCAGGCUUCUUGGCUCGCAGCAAAUCACUCGGAUCUGCAUUUUUCUGAUACUCUUGCAAUUCAACUACUGCCAUUUGUGCAUCAGCAAUUUUGGAACCCUUCUGAAAGCAUUCCUCUGCCUUCUGUCGAUUGCCCGUGACAGUGAUUACUCCUCUGGGACUGGGCAUCUUCAAUUUGAGGUAUACGUAACAUGGUCGAGCCAUAAAACGUGCGUAAGCGGGCCUGCCCAGAAUAGCAUGAUAAGCACUCUGGAAAUCCACAACUUCAAAUGUCAACUUCUCUUUGCGGUAAUUCUUUGAGUCACCGAAAACCACGUCAAGGGCGAUCUGACCGAGUGACUGAGCCUUCUUGCCAGGUAUCACACCGUGGAAACUCAUAUUGCUUUCGCUAAGCUUCGACAUCGGAAUGCCCAUCCCUUUUAAGGUUUCAGCAUAAAGGAUAUUCAGGCCGCUGCCACCAUCCAUUAGCACUUUGGUCAGUCGAGUGCCUUCUACCACAGGGUCGACCACCAAUGCUUGCCUCCCAGGGGUGGCUAUACGCGCUGGGUGAUCAGACUGGUCGAAUAUAAUGGCAGUCUGAGACCACUUCAAAUAACUGGGUGUUGCCGGAGCAACCAUGUUCACUUCUCUGUUGAUAACUUUCAAUUGACUUUUGCUCUCAACAUCAGCAAAAAUCAUCAGAGUGGAGUUGAUGUUAGGAAAACCAUCAUCUUCUUCUUCCUUGUCCUCACUCUUGUCUGACCCUUUCUCCUUGUCACUGGGUUGUUUCUCUCGGAACUACUGGAUUAGGAGUCGACACUGCCGAGUGGUGUGUUUGGGGUAAAUGAAAUUGCCCUCUUCAUCUUUCUUGGUAUGGAUGUGACACGGUAAAUCCAACACAUCAUUUCCAGCUUGAUCUUUUACUUUCUUGGGGGUCCAGGGCCCUUUGGGCUUCCCCUUGAACUUUCCUUGAACCACAGCUAGAGCUUCACCAGGGGCAGCUGGCUCGGCCUUACGCUUCUGUUUCCGAUUGGAAGUAUCACCGGCGUUCUGGCCGACUGGUUUGCCUUUCCCACUAUGGAGUCGAUCCUCUUCUUCUCCGUUAGCAUACCGAGUGGCUAUUUCCAUCAUCCGAGUCAGGGAAAUGUCCCUUGUCCAACCGAAUUUCAGGACUAGCUCCCGAUACUUCACGCCUUCCUUGAAGGCACAAACUGCUUGAUGUUCAGACACAUUUUCCACUGUAUGAUGCAAGGUAGUCCAUCUCUGAAUGAAAUCUCUUAGAGUUUCACUUGGCUUCUGCACGCAAUGCUGUAAUUCUGUCAGCCCUGCUGGUCGCUUGCAAGUUCCUUCAAAGGUUCUAACGAACACUCGGGCGAGCUCCUCCCAGCUGUAUAUACUGCCAGGCGCCAGCUGAUUCAGCCAUGCUCUGGCCGAGCCCUCUAACAUCAAAGGAAGAUGCUUCAUAGCCACUUCAUCAUUGCCGCCACCAAUCUGCACCGCCACUCGGUAAUCCUCAAGCCAAGUAUCAGGCUUGGACUCACCAGUGAACUUGCUGACUCCAGUCGCCAACCUAAAGUUGGGAGGAAUUGCCGCUGCCCUGAUGGCUCUGCUGAAACACUCAGGACCUGAAACAUGAACCCUGCUGCCAGUCGGCUGGUUUCAAUCACGGCCUUCUCUGUGUGCCCUGUUUCUGUCGACCAGGCCUUGAACAAGAAUCGAUCUUGCAUCAAAGCCUGGCUCUCUGGGGUCGACUAGACCUCUGCGCUCGCCACUGUGUGGGCGUCUGUCAUCAUACUGCCGAGGCAUAUACGAUCCGCUCCUCGGAGGAGGUGUGGGCACUCGAUGACGGUCAUCACGACCGAGUCGGGGAUCAUACUGCUCAUAGUUUCUGUACCGAUCUUGUCGGGGCUCACGUCCCUCACGCCUCGGGGGCGAUCUUGGGUUGUGUGCCGAUUGAACUGUAUCUGCCGUCACAGGCCUGCUGUGAAUCCUGUUCCGCGACUGAGAUACUGCUGUAUUCUGAUCUCCUGCUGCCCGGAGCAAGGCUCGAAUCUGCAUCAAACCUCGGCCUGCUUCCGACUGGGAGGGCUGAAUUGAUUCCGCUAUACGGGCCGCAGCAGUGAGAUUUUCAAUCAGAGUGCGGUAUACCUGCGGUGGAGGUGGAAAAAGUUACCGUCGACUGGAAUCAGGGAUCCGCUGCCGAGCGCGCUCGUCAAGAGCCCGCUGGAGGUUAUCCAGUCGAGUGCGUUCAGCCAAGUUGGCCAAGUGCGCCUCCUCCAAGGCCCGAGCCUCGGGGGUCUCCCCAAUGAUGGGAGUGUGAAGUGCAUCCACAUUGCGGCGGCGAAGCUCUUCCCUCUGCUGCGAAGAAAGUGGCUCGGGGCGGUACUCUUCGUAAGCACGCGACGGAUCGUCGUUGCCAUCACCGCCGUCAUCCCGGGGGAAGCCAGGAGGACUGUGUGGUCCGUCGACCAUUAAGACUUCCGCCGCGGGAUCGCUGCUGUCACACUCGGAUGCGGUCUCUACGGAGCCAGUCGAACAGGCCGUAGAGAGUUUUGUCGGGCUCGAUUGCCGCGACUUGUGGGGUGGCAGACUGACGGGCCACCACAUGUCUCACCCACCGCUGAAGCCGCAACCGACCGGAUCGGUUGCGGCGACGCGCAGCGGGGCGCGAGGACACCACGAGAGCCGACCGGUACUGGGUCGACUGCUGCCGGAGGAGGACGUCGCGGACGCACGCGUGAAAGUGCGUUGCUCCGCGGACGGGGAGCGCCUCGACAUCGAGUGGAGCUUCCUGGAGCCAGGCGGAGUCGUCGGCAAUGAAGACGAGCGCGCCGAGACGGAUCUCGCAGCCCUCAGCCAAACCUCCGCCGGAAACCAUGAUGAUGGGAAUCGGAGAAAUCGCAACUUCACCAGAAAGUCGCUAAGACACCUGCCCCACGGUGGGCGCCAACUGUCGUGGUUCUAAGGCUGACAGUAGAAUGGGGGGUAAGUAUGAGGAAGCAAGAUCCUAGCUAUGGCGAAGUUGUACACACGAUUUUCACGAGUUCAGGCCCUUCGCGGAGGAAGUAAUAGCCCUACGUCUCGGUGCCCGGAGGCGAUCGACUGGAUUAUGAGCGUGUGUUACAGGGGGUCCGAACCCUUGUCCCAGAGGAGGGGAGUGGCUUAUAUAGAGUGCGCCAGGACCCCAGCUCCCCUCCGUUACAGGGAUUCAAUGUACAUAAAGAUGGGGCGUUACUGGUAACGCCAGCCAUAAGUGCUAUAAAUGACAUUAAAGGCUGCAGAGUGAACGCCCGACCGUUGCUGUGCAGAGUGACUUUAGAUCUUCUGUCUGUGGAGUGGUUUCUGUUACGGUCGAGUGACAUUGAAUCUUCCGAGUGGAAUGCUUCUGGUCGAGUGGAUGAUGCUAUCCUUUGAAUGUCUCUGACUUUAGGGUGAUGUCCUAGGGGAGAGUGUCUGGGUCAGGCCUAUGACCCUACCCUAGGUACAUAGCUUCAUCAGUGGCACCGGGAUGCCGCCGGCGCUCAACCUCCACGUCCCCGGCACCCGCAUGUCCGGGGGCGCCGGGUACUCCGCCUCGUACAGCAGCCACGCCUUCGCCUCUUGGAGGUGGCGGCGGCCGAAGCCGUUCGCCGCCGUGCCGUCGCCUGGGUACCUCUCGGCCAUCUUUCUUGUCGGCGGGGAGAGGGGAGAGAGUGUUGCUUUCUGCGCCGAGAAGGGGGGAAAUGAGAGCUGUGGCGUCCACCGGCGGGGAGGUCGCCUUUUAUAGCCGUAACUGGGCGGCGUCGAGCUGCAUGCCGGACGAUGCGUGGCUGGACACAUGUGGCGGCGCGUUCACUGCGCCGCGCAUGAGGCAUCAAUGGAGGCUGACCGGCGCGGCAGCGCGGCAGCCUUCGCAUUGAUUCCCGCGGGAACCGAGGCGAUGAGGGCGACGAAGCGGCGUGUCGCUGACUCGGCGGGCCCAUCCACUUUCGUGCCAAAACGUCUCGCCCCGGCACCCCCGGGCGCCCCCCAGCGCGCCGGGUUCUGCCUGGGUCUGCCGGCGCCAAUUUCGGCCCAAGCCGGCGAAAAACGGGCUCCUAGGGGCGCGACUGGGCCGUUUUUUGGGCGCGGGCGCGGGAAAAACGUCUGGGGAGGGCCUGUUGGGGGCGCGGCCGGAGAUGCUCUAACUUUGGAUCUAUUCAUCAACUUUCAAGGUAGUACAAAGAACACCAGAAGUAAAAAAAUACAUCUUGGUCCAUAGACCACCUAGCGAUGACUAUUUGCACUGGAGCGAGCCGAAGGCGCGCCGCCGUCUUCGCCCCUUCCUCAUCGAAGCCGGGCAAACCUUGUUGUAGUAGACAGCCGGGAAGUCGUCGUGCUAAGGCCCCAUAUGACCAGCGCACCUGAACAGCAUCCGCCGCCGAUGGAGAGAAGCGUAGAUCAGAAGGAUCCAACCUGUAGACACACGAACACAGACGGAUGAAGACAAGAUCCACAUGGAUCCACCGAAGACAAACGCCGACCGAAUCCCGUGAGAUCCGUCGGAGACAAACCUGCACACGCCCUCCAACGAUGCUAAAAACACCAUCGGAACGGGGACAAGGCGGGGAGAACCUUAUUCCAUCAGCAGAGAGCCGCCGCCGCCUCGCCUCUCUGAGCAGGACACAAACCCUAACAAAACUCUCUGUGAAGCAGGCAACUGAGCGACGACUACAAGCAUUGGGGGGUAUCAGGUGAAAACACACUAUCUUCUGAAAAUCUGAAAAUUUUCGUUGUGGUCAAUUUGAUGUCAUAUCAGGUGAAACCACUGCUCAAGUUAGGCGCGUAUAAAAAUGAUGAUUAGUUGGCUAAAAUCAGGAGACACUGAGCUCAGAAACUCGGAAACUGGAAAUCUUUGCACAUUGUUCUAGCUGACAAUAAGCAUAAUUUGCAGCAGCAAGAAUACAAACAAAAUUAAUGUACAACUAGAGGUAGCAUGUAUAUAUUAUAUGCACAGACAAGAAGAAUACAAAUAGGGUUUUUACUGGUUAAUUGGUUGAUCAUUGGGAAAAAUGUACUAGUAGUGUAUAUGUUUGCUCUCAAUUGUCUUUUCCUGUCUGAAUCUCUGGUUAUUCCACUCCUCAGCACAAGAAGGAAGACCUAAGUUAUUACGUAUGGUGAAUCUGAGAGAGGGACAUCGGCGAGGGGUAUGGGCACGGCAGUGGACAUUGGAUGCUGAAUACGGCGACACGGCACGGCAGAAGCAAAGCACUUCCCAACCUUGCCGAUCCGAAAUUCAUUACAUGCAGAUGGUGGUAAUUUUAUCUCGCCCCUAGUUGUUGGCUCUGAAAUGAGUAGGUAGGUUUUAAGGGACUGACGCAUGUAGAGCUGCAUUAGGCACCCGCGAUUCUUCCUCAUGCGUUAUGCUGCCGAAAUUUCUAGUGAAAGUUUCCACGACUUGUCAAAAUAUUGGCCUUGUUUGUAAGAAAAUAAAAACUUUAGGGUCUUGGCUGCAAAAAAAUGUGUCCUUAUUUGUACGAAAACAGAACUUCAGGGUCUUGGAUGCAAAUGGUAAGGUCUUGGUGUGACAUGAAACUGGUCUGGCAUAUACACCAAUUAUACUGAACGAAAUUUGCAGCAGUUGCAAAAUUCAGACAUCAAUUACACAUGAGCUAUUGGCGCCUUGCUGAUGCGACAAAUAGAUUUUGCAUGGUUGAGGUGUAACCUUUUCUAGAUGGAGCACACAUAACGGUUCUUCUAUAGGAAAAUAGCAGUCAUCUUGGUAGUAGUUCAAGCACGGAUUUGUGAUCUUCUUGGUGGGAUCGUGUGCCUGUUAUCAUUAAUGAAAGAAACAUUAUUAGGAGGGAACAUCCAAGAGAUUGAAAACAUAGAAAGAGAUCUAGUAGCAUACAUCAGAUCCAAUGCAUUUAGAUGAAACAAAUCCCUUGCAUUAAUUGAUCAAUUGUGAUCAUAAUGCACACUAACUACUGAAAAACAUGCAGUGAAAUACUCCUAUGCUUUUCUCAGCUAAGUAAGAAUACUGCUACAGUUUGCAGACUCUUCCUCUGCUUUUCUCAGCAAGGCUGCACUGCAUGUCCAUGGAAUUGCAUAACUUGAGCAACAAGACUCUUCUUCUGCUGAGCUGAUUCGAUCACUUGAGCGCACAUCCGUGGAAUUGCAUCACUUUUCAGUCCAAUUUCAAACACAUUACAACUUCCUAUCCUCCCCUCUACAUUCACGAGACCAAGUUGGCAGCGAGCCUUCGGGCACCUUGCACAGUGUUGGUGCGUACCAAGUAGGCCACGUGAGGAACAACACGGGCGGACCAGCAGUGUCAUGUACAUGAUUGUGCGGACAGACGGCAUGGAUAGACCGACGAACGCGUACAACGCGACACGCACCCAGCUGAGACCACCGCGUGUGCACAUUUAGGAAGAGUGUUUCUAUCUAUUAUGACACGUGCAGUCUUGGGUUUGCUGAGAGGAACAUUAUUUUUCAUUAUGGAGAUUUGCAAACAGCCUUUAGGAUGGAUCAUCCCUAGGUCCCUGCCUAGUGAAAAGCAUUCGACAAGGCUGCUAGUGAACUGCUCGCUGAUGUGACAUAUCCUUCAGGAAUUUGUGUUGGGCUGGGGGGGGGCAAUUUUUUUUAGAACAGGAGGAGGACCCUCGGCCUCUGCAUCUGGACGAUGCAUGCAGCCACUUUAUUAAUUGUGCACACAAGACCGUUGCUGGGGGAGCAAUAGCCCCCUCUGCUUCAUGUUGUUCUUUCCAUAAGUAAAACUCAGUUUUGCCUAGCCCUUGCCUCAGUCAACUCCGUCCUCCUUAACCACGUGCGGCCGUCGUCCUUGCCUACUGUGGCCCGCCUCAGUCCCCCCCUUCUCCACGAUGCCAUUCGACCUGCUGCUCCUUCUCUGCAGCACUACAUCUCCACCACGAUGGAUGUAGGAGCUGCUCCUCGUUUUGUGCAGCCCAACUGCUCCACGAUGGAUCCAUGGCCAUAGCUUAGAUCUUCUUGUCAAAUCCCUCCAUAAUCCCUCUGUUUUGCACUGUUUCUAAUAUUUUUUCACUUUUGUCUAUUGCGCAGAUCAGGGAUGUUUUGUCGAUCUGCUGUCCGAUUGAAGGUACAUGUCCAAAAUCCCCUCAAAUUUGUAUGCGGUGUCUUGUUGCAAUGUUUUACAUCUAGAUAAUUGAAUUGUACAGCCCAACGUCAGAUCAAUCAGAGUUGGUUGGUUGAGUGGAUAAAUGAAGAAAAUAAAAGACGAAAGAGGAAAAGAAUUGUUUUGACUAAUUGUUUGUUGAAACAUGUGCUCUUGCAUUAGCAUUUGUUACUACCCAAAGGGGUAGGGGACCAAGGGACCUAAGAAGUUUUGAUGAUGAUGAAGACAAGCAUAGUCAUAGGAAAUAUUUGCUUAAAAGUUGUAUGAUGGAGCUGAAGUAACAUUGCUAUGGUCAAUUGCGUCUCACACUGUACGAAACUUUCAUGACCUUUGCACCAUGUUACGGAAGAGAUGUGGCCUCCGUGAUAGUGUAUAUGUGACCGUGGAAGAGAAAGUUGCAACGUUCUUGCUUGUAGUUGGUCAUAGUAUUAAUAUGAGGAUGUUGUGUGGCACCUACAAGCGUUAUUUAUGGACCACUAGCACACACUUCUCUGCUGUUCUAACAGCCCUACUCUCUCUACAUGGGGAGUUCAUUAAGCUACCUUCCUCUACCUUACAAAUGAAAGUGGUCUGGUAAUGCACUUGGAGCACUGGAUGGUUGUCAUACUGACAUGCUUGUUGAUGUGGCUGACCAAGGAAGGUAUAGGAACAGAAAGCAAGCGAUUAGCACUAACAUGCUAGGUGUCGUUGAUUUGAACAGAAUUUGUAUUCGUGUCAUUUCAGUUUCCUCACUGAUUUGGAAUUCCAGAUCAAUUCAAUACGGAGCUCUCCAAUGGAGACAUCCAAACAAAGCGUAAUGGCAAAAUCUCCCCAGAUGUUUGUCAGCCUCAUGUGGCUUCUAUGCACCAGCCUUUGAGUCCACGGUAUGUUUGUCAUAUUCAUAUGUAUUUUACUAUUCCAUAUAGAUCUUCGGAUUGGGUCUUGUUGUACCCAUCCAUCCAUCGGUUUAGGAGUUUUAGUUGUACUAUCAAGUUUGACUAAACCUGGUAUGCAUACAAAGAGGCGUGGUGUGUGCAGAUAGUUUAUCAGGCUAAUUUUCACCCAAGAAAUAUAAUUAUGUAUGCUAUACGUGACGAAAGGGGGAGUGGAAGACAACAACUGUACAAGCAGCAUCCCAGUACAGCCAGCAAGAAGGGUUCUACCAGCAACGUAUUUUCCUCAGACAACCGUAUCAAGACAGUGCGACCUAUGCCACUGCAGCCAUGAUAAAGAGAAAAACUAUUAUACAACAAUAUGCUGCCAGGAGAUAACUUGCAAUGAUCCAGUGGAGCCGAAAGGCACUUGUACACUCCGCAGAGUCUCAUGCGGCUGUGACGUGAAAACAUGCAAGUAGUACAUGCAAAUGAAAGUUUUCGUUGUGUGUUUUUUCUUUAAUAAAGGGGCCACUGGUGCCAAAACAUGCUUGACUCAUCUGCCUUGCUCAUUGUGUCUGUGUGCAAUCUGAAUCUUCUGUUUUGUUUUUGGGUGAAAUUUGCCGGAACUGAAAACGAUUACCAGCUGACCAAGCUGACCAAGUCAUCGGUUUCAGAAACUACAGAAGUGACUUUGGUUGUGAUUCCUGGAAUUGUCAAGGAAUCCCUACGCUAGCAAGCUGAUUUAUAUGUUGGGUGAACGACUCCAUCCAAUAUACUCCUGCUUUUCUAUGUGCUUGCUUUAACGGUGUUAAUGUGCAACCUGGUAUACUAUCUUUUGCCGCUUGAAGGAUGAGCAAUAUUGAC